This 78864-nucleotide long non-coding RNA is filed under the name Coffea arabica (coffee). RNAcentral's name for it is "long non-coding RNA (CARA_LNC007458)". Lineage: Eukaryota; Viridiplantae; Streptophyta; Magnoliopsida; Gentianales; Rubiaceae. The record is from RNAcentral.
CCCCCUUGGCUUGGCACUAAGUUUGAACACGAGAUAUGUCGAAUAGGAACUGCCCCUUGGUAGGUCCCUAGAAGGCACACUGGCUCGAAUGUCAAACCAGCAAACUUCAACAAGCUCGGCAACCUCGAAGCUGUACAAAGGCAUUAAAAUCAGUUUAGGAUAAUCUUCGAAAGUCAUCAACUAACUAAAGGGGGAAAGUGAGAUAAUAAUAUAAAUGGAAUAGGACUAUAUACAGGACGGGUACGUGUGAAGUUAGUUCAGGAGGUUUACCCAGAAGGUACAUCAGUGUACCAUUUCCAAUAGCGUGGAUCAUUACCGUGAGAGAUCACUAGAUCCCUUGCGUUGAUGGUGUAAACCUGUGAUGGAAAAUCGAGCAUCGACAAGUUAAUUAAUCUUUUCAGGCAAAGUAACAAAUGACUGAUGAGUAGUUCCAGUAUUAAUGCAAACUAAGAACUACUGUUAUAGUUAUAUACCAUGUUGAAUAGAAGUAGCUCUGGAGUAGUGUUGGAAGGACUGUACGUUUUGUGGAAUGAGGGAUUGAAGAUUGCGGGAAUGGAUAUUUAUAGGCCUAUCUGAUUAACUGACGCUUGCAGAUAUUUCCAAUCUUACCUCAUCAGAGAUGUGUAAAAACGUGUUUCGUGCUGGUGUGAAGGUCAGAUGCUGAUGUGAAUGAGGGUGGCCUUUCACAAAACCACAAAUAUGAGUGUAUCAGAGUCCAAUUAUUCUCUGCCAUCUCUUUCUAUAGUCAAUUUUUGUAAAAACCAUAGCGAAUGCUUAUGGGAAAGUCUUCUUUGCAUGUCUAAAGAUUAGAUGAUAAAAUGAAAAUGGUAGAGCUGGUAAAUGGCACAAUUGGCAAUGUAAAAGAAGGAUAGAGCUUGCAUCAUAGGAAAAACAUGGGAUUUGUACCGUGGAAACUGUAGCAUUUCAAUUUUUUUUUUCUCGCACACUUGUUCAAAAAAUUUAGCAUAAUUGAAGAAAACAAAAGAUAUAAAGAGGCAAACAAAGAAAAGGAUUGAAGAUUGCCAAGGAAAAGGAAUUAUUUGACGAGUCUUAAUGAUACCAUUAAGGAUAAAUUUAAGGAUAAGGAGCAGGUGUAAUUGUGUUUUGUCCAGUUUUAUUUGUAUGGUAUAAAUCAUACAAAAUUUAAUGUAAACUUACAUGACUUUCGUGUAGUUAUUGGUGCCGUUGAUGUAUGUAGAUUAGCUCUAUAGCACAUCCAUGAAAUCUUGUAAUAAAUAUACAAAAUAGAGUCUUAUAACAAAUAUACAAAAUCUUGUAAGAAUUACGCUAACAGGACAAAAUUGAAUAAAGCUUAACUAUACUUGUACCCUUGCAAAAUUUUUAUGUUGUGUGAACGCACUUGGUUGGUUUGACCUGCUGGCAAAUACCUAAAUGAACUCUUGUCCAAGAAAAACCUUUCCAACACCUCUAGUUGUUACUAGAUACUACACUAUGACCAUCACUUGUGGAAAAGUUGGGAGGGAUUUUUUUUUUGGUCAAGGUCAAGACUUAACAAAAGGCCUUUAUGGGAUAGAAGAAUCAUUUUACGUCCAAAACAGGACACAUAAAAGUCUAUCAAGACCAAGACUUAUAAAAAAGACGUACACUAUACUAUACACUUACAACACAUAUUUCAAAAAUAAAUUAAUUAGUUAAAUACAUGCUCAAUCAAGCAAUUUUGUCAAGACCAACAUUGUAAACAGCUGCAGACUAGUAGUAAUAUGAACAUCAAACUUAAAAGUUUUGAAAUUUCACAAGAUGCGACAAGUGGAAAUUGUGCAAAGUGACAUGAAAGCAAGAUUCUAGAUCAAAAUAGUUGUUACUUAAUUUGAAUUCGCAGAUUCAUUCAUCCAAAAAAAAAAAAUUUUCACAGAUUCAAAUAGAAAAUCUGAAUGAUAAAAAGACAAUAACAUAAAUUAGCCAAAAUCACUAGCGCAAAUUUCACUGUUCAUUUAAAAAAACUUACUAUUAUAAUUGCAAAGUUCACCUUGUCUUUCCUAGUUGUUACCACUUUUUUGGUAAAUCAUAUUAAUUUUUUGAACAAACUUUCUACUUCAUUAGCUAAGCACUGCAAUUUAGUUUGGUAAACCCUACUACUUUUCCAACAAAUGAGAUUCAAAAUUUGGAAACUAAAUUUUAUUUUUUUUAUCAUCUUCGAACAAUUUAGUAUUAGUUCAUACAAAUUUUGGUCAAAUUGUCAUAAAUUGAUAGAAAUUCAAACAGGAUUUCUUUUAAGAAGUAAUGUUACAAUUUCUUUUAAAAUAGGAUUAUAUAUCAUUUGACAUUCGAUGCACUUCUACGGCCUUUCUUAGGUAUUGCAAUUAAUUAGGGUUGGCACUUGAAACCUAAAAGAGCCUAAUCAACAAGGUUGAAAACAAACAAUUCGUUAAAAUGAGAACAAAAAGCUCCAAACCACACAACGCGCAGAUGUUGCUUUGGAGUUUUGGAGGGACUAUUUCAUUGAAAGAGGAUUGAAGAUUGAGGAAAUGGAUAAUUAAGUGGCCUUUGUGGAUAUUUCCACAGUGGCCUCAUCAUGGACAUCAAAAACGUUGGUCCUUCUCAUUCUUUUACACGUACUAAGACAAACGUAAUCCUUGGCAAAAUUCACACCGUCGUUGGUUUAUCCUUCUAGUUGAAGGGCACAAAAUGUACCAAUCAUAGUAGUAGCUCUGACAAUGACAUUAGGUAACAUCAAUUGCUCAAUAUCCGUGAAUGCAAUGUUAAGUUAAAACUUAGAUUUUAGUUUUUUUUUUGUCAAAUAAAACUUAGAGUUUAGUUAUGACUACACUGAACUGCUAAACCAUCAUCAGGUCACAACGUUGCCACUCCAAUUAUACCCAAAAGAUCAUCAUGGUAACUUGCAAUCAAUUUGAAUCACACACCAUUCUCGAUAUAACUAAAUCAUGGAAUAUUUUGAACCAUAAUUCACACUUCUAGAUCCUAAACAUUGAUAAAUUACAAGUAUGAUAGGCUUAUUUGUUACCUACACUUGCGACUAUUUCUAGGAGAAUAAGAAAUUCCAUAGGCCCAUUGAUCAAGGAAGUUCGUCUAAAUAUAUCACCAUGAAUCUUGUGAAAUAACAUAUUUCCAGUAUACACAAUCCGACUAGUUAGUUGAAUAUAUCAAAUAUUAAUUGAUAUGAAUCAAUCAUCAUAAAUGCCAAACAAUCAUCUGAAGACACCAAUCAAUCAUGUCAGUUACCUUAUGUCCAAAAAGAUUGAAUCAAUAGUUAGUUAUAUUUUCCAUAAAAAAAAAAAACAAGCCUUAUUGUCAGUUAUGUUUUCCACGAGUAUCUUGUCAGGAAAACAAACCAUAAAUGGAGGAAUCUUGUAGACCUCAGAAGAAUGUUAGAGACGAGGUUUUUCCUUUGCACUAAAUUUUAAAAAUCUAAAUAUUCUAUUUUUUACAAGUAUACAGAUUGUUUAUCAAGAAUAGGACAUAUUAGGUAUCGAUCUCACAGGCAAGAUUGUCAAUUAUUGAUGAUUUUCAAGCUUCUUUAUUAUUUAAGUUAUCACAAAUACAAGAAAAUAAAUCUACUUUACAAUCAUGAAAUAAAAGGAGUAAAAAUAGCAAUAGAAAGCUUCUGGGGCUAUGGCAUUCCUAACUAGGGUGAUGAUAUCUCUAGAACUUACUCCUUCGAAAGACUCCUCAAGAGGGGUUAAAUGUGAAUCAUUCAUGCUCAUCUCUUGAUGUUCAACCUUAGUUUCAAAGAUACAAUCAUGUAAAAUGGACAUUUCGUCAUUGGAACACAAAUUAGAUUCAUCAUUUUGAUCAAAAUGCAAUCCACUUUCACAUACAACAUUCCCACCAUUCACAAUAGGAUCAAUUUACAUAUUAUUAGAUGAUAAAACUUCACAUAAGGCAUGCAAUUGGUCUUAAAUUCUACCAAAUUGAGAAGCUAAUUCAUCUAAUAUAUUCUCAACCCUAUCAAAAUGGUCAGAAGUCAUAUUAGCUAACCUUUCAAUUGCUAAUUUCCAAGACAAAAGUGCAUUAACUAACCUUUCAAUUGCUAACUUCCAAAAUGGCUUUGAUUCAAGUUGGACAAAUUCGAAUUGGUAAUUAUAAAAAUACAGAGGAGCAUUAUAUCCAUACUGAUUAUUUCAACUAUAAACAUAAGAAUUAUCCCAAUUAGGAUCAUAUUGAUCAAAACAAGGAUUGAAAGGCUCAAAUUCAUCAUAAUAAUCUACAUUUUGUGCGUGUCUACAUGUACGAGUAGCAUGAUAAUCGUCACACAAGUUACAAAUCACAUAAUUAGAAUAAAAAAUAUUAACAUUUUUCUUUCUUUUUUUCUUUUUUUUUAUUUGGCUAACCCCAUGCACGGGGAGGGACGCCACCCCUGAGUAUUAUUAAUAAAAACCACAAAAGACACAUACAAUGCCAAUCAAUCGAGCACAACCCUACUGCGUAUUACAGGAAUUCCUGCUCUAUCCAAACCCACGGCCCCACUAGCGGGUCUUGGUAACUCCGAAUGGGAGGUAUACAUGCCACUCAACAACCCUUGCGCCCCCACCUUAGACAAGAUGUUCGCCACCUGGUUUGCUUCUCGAAAACAAUGACCCACAGUCCAAUCCGAACCCAACAUUGAUUGGAUUGCCUCUACAUCAGAGCGAAUCAGCCAUGGACAUCUCGACUUGCCAGGGAGAACAUUUACUAAUGAACAUUUACUAAUGAACACCCACAGUCCACCUCCACCUGUACCCUGGAGACACCCCGUAACAGGCACUGCUGCACCCCAUAUAGCAACGACUUGGUUUCAGCUUGCAAACUUGUCGUCUACCCGAGGAGAAUGGAAAAACCAAAUAGCAAAUCACCAGAGGAGUCCCGAAGGACACCACACCCUCCACUAGGCCCUGGGUUACCUAAUGAACAUCCAUCCGUAUUUAACUUGUAGAUCCCCUGAAACGGCAGUUCCCAAUAUACCACCCUAUGGGAGUAUCGAGGCCUCCAUCCAUACAUACUAGAGUAAAAAGCAUGCCAGGAAACUGACAGGUUGUCAGCCUAUGAAAUAAUAAAACCUGCUUAAACUAAAAGUAAUUUCUGUAGAUAGCGGUGAGCAGGGUCGAAUCCACAGGGACUGGGGGUAAUUAUUUCUUUUCAAAUUCACAGUGACAAGGGGGUGUUUUUAUAUCAGGGGUGACAAUUUAAACAAUUCAACUAAAAAUAAAAUAAUAAAAAUAAAAUAGCCAACUAGAAAUUAAAUAACAAUUUACUAAAAUCUAAUGACUGAUAAUUAAGGAUCUAGCCAAGGAAUAACUUCAGCAAUGGUUCACCUAAUUGAUCAUCGAAGCAAAGGCAAUUCUAAUUAUUUAUUAAUAAAUAGGUUAUAACUGUCAAACAAGCGAUGACAGUCAACCCCUCCUUACUAUAUCGGUGAUCAAGUUACGCCCGUUAAUCACUUUUUUAAUUGAAAAACAAUCCUAGGUACGCCCGUAAGAUUUAAUUCCCCAAUUGCUUUACGUAUUAGAGGAGCCCUAUUCUAACCAAAUAACACACUACCAGGGUUAUUUCAGAUUAGCCUGCAUAUCCUCCUGACACAAACCAAAUCAUGCCAGUUGUCACUAUUUCAAGGCAAUUAAACAAUUACGAAUUUAAUACCCUAAUUGACAAUAGAUUACCGAAUCAAUUAAUUAUCCGGAUCCAAAAUAAUCAAUUAAUUAAAUAACCAUAAGCAUAGCAAUCAAGGAAUAUGCGAAUACCAAUAAUUAAAAGGAAAAGAUUAAAUUAAAUCGAUCUCACAAUUUUAGGCGAAUCAAAGCCUCCGUUGUCCCUGACUAGAGUGAAAAAUUAGUUCAUAUUUGAUACUAAAAACCCACACAAAGGUGUAGAAAAACCUGCGGCCAUUAUCCUUGAUCGAAAGAGUUCACUCCGUUCGAACAAAAGGAUGAAUAGCAGGUCUUCUGAGAAUGACUAAUUGGCUAAUUGAGUAAUACUUGUCUUGACAUACGGAGAAAUAAGAGCUACUUGAGCCCACAAGAAAAAGUCAAAAGAAGCUAAGCUAAAAGAGACACAAUCAAAAGCUAAGCUAAAGGUAGUGCUUGCCCUCUGCACAAUCUUCCUAUCUAAAAGUCAUGCUACUUGCGGCGGCUCCUGUGUGUGGAGAGGAAGAAGCCUCUCGACGACUGCCCAGGUUUGCUUUCUUUUCCCCUUUUUUAGUUGCUGUCUUCGGUCAAAAUUACCAAAAAGGUCUUGCAUCUCCUUGUUCCAAGAAUGCCCUUGAUUGCCUGCUAUUUGAACUCUUUCCUGAUAACUGUUAAAUUGGCACUUAUUAUGGUAUUUUCGUUCUACUCCCUGAAAUAUAUGCCAAAUACUAAAAGUGAGCAGAAUCCAGCAAUUAAUCCACAUCGGGUCAGGUAAUAGGGAAAAUUAAUAAUAAAAUAAAUGAUAAAAUUGCAACCUAUCAAUUCCCCCCACACCUAAACCAUGCUUGCCCUCAAGCAUGAGAACAACAAACAAAUACCAAUAUUUGAUAGUGGCUACUGCUCUAUCCACCAAAUUGCCAAGAUAUCAAGAAAAAUAAUAAUCAAGCAUCGAUGGUCAAGUCCAAGAAACAUCACUCUGGUUAGCUUCUAAACCAUAAACUCUUCCAAUUUCAGGUUAACUAAUCUAAGAAAAAGGAGUGGUCGCUCAAUAUUUAUCAGCGAAUGGUCCAACUAUUAACCAAAAUCUCAACAUUAAAUCCAUAAAUCGGCAAGCUGACUUUUAUCACACAUUAACACAACCAUUACCUUUUUUCCAUAUUUUUCUUUUUUUCCUUUUUUUUCAAUAGUAACACAAGACUUAGUCUUAUAGCCAUGGGAGCCUUUUGACGCGAACUCCAACAUUUGCCAGAUGAAGGAGCCUAGUUACUCAACUCCUAUCGCUAUACGACCACGUACUCAUAGAAAUUACUACUUUUUGACGCGAGAAUCGACACUUUUGGUGAAGAUCCCCGGUUACUCAGUAGUAAAAACUAGCUGAGUACAGCCAACUCUUAUUCUCAACUAAAUAACACAAAAACUCAAUAUAACACAAAAAUCAAAAGAAAAUUUGCAUCAGCUAUCCUCAUUUUCAAAUAUGGAGAACUAAGGUUAAUAACUGGACCAAUUCACAUGAAAAUGCCAACAAUCAUUCCCUAUGCCUAGGAAAGUUGACCAAAAGUUAAAAGAGUAAAACAAUCGCUGAUAUUCACCAAAGAGAUAUUCUUGGACUCAACCACAUUAACUUGAUACACUUUUAUUAUUAAAACUUGGCAAUAGCAGAAUUAGAGUCAACAAUCCAACAUCAAACUUUGGUAUUCAUUAAAAAAAAAGUAAACGAAGACUAGACAAAUAACAAACUAGCAAUAAAAGAAGGACAUCUGAAAACUAAAAACUGGUAUAGCUGUCCCUCCCCCCAUACCUAGAUCCUACAUUGUCCUCAAUGGAGGAAAUAAAAUAAUUAAAGCGAAGAGGAUAACGAAACUUCCCCCUCGAGUGGUUAAGGGGUAUUUGGUAGCUACGGAGGGAAACCAACAUGGUGAAGGUACGAGGCCACGUUCUGAGACAUCCUUGCCCAUUGGCGGGCAAUGUUCGUCAUUCGCUCAUCUACGUUGUGAACCUGUGCUUGUAAGUGGCGCCACUCACCAUUUUCGCCAAUUAUCAUUCCAAACAACCAAAGACAGAAUAUCCAACAAAGAUAGCAAUCACAAAUGCACAUUCAUAGUCACUGGUGUUCCCCAACUCAACAAUCAAAAGCAAACAUGGGCCACCCAAGCCCAAAUAUGGUCAACAAAGCAACAGUUGCACUUCAAAAUCAAAAACCAGAAACUAUUAUCAAUAACUGGAAACUAGCAAAGUCACGUCAAUAAGCACAGGAACUACCCAAUUUAGUCAGUCAACAAGCAAACUUGGGACAUCCACAAUAUCAACAAAUGCACUCUAAGAUUGUAACAAAUGCCCCCAUCAGUCAAACCAUAACAAUUGCCCCAAUAAUAUGCCAAAUUCAGCAAUAGAGGUUCAAGAAUUUAGUAAUAGUAACACAAUCACAAGCCCUUGGCUAUCAGCCAAAUAUCCAAACAAAUACAGUGAGCAGAUUCAAGGAAAAACAGUCCAACCAGUACCACUGGUGAAAAAUUAAGUGUACCACUUCACCACCCGAAAUCGUAGCAAAAACCCCAAGAAGCCAACAAUUCAAGCAAUAAUAAUUCCGUAAGCUAACAGUAGCACCACAGAAAUUAGCAAUGGAAGACGACAGUCAAGGCACGCCCAAUAGUUCACUAGAAAGCGAAGAAAUCCACUAAUAAUGUCGCAUCGAACCCAAAAGGCACUGAUGUCCCACAAUUGGAACAAAUAAAGAUAACCCAAACACCAGUGCAACCCCAGAUACUGGAACUCGAUUUAACCAGAUAAUGUGGCCAUGGAGGCUUCAAUUGAGUCUAACAAUUAAGUCCCAGAAAGGAUGCUCCAAAUAAUUGGGUAUAAGUUCGAGAGGGGUAAAUACCUCCGCCGCGAAUAGUGGCCAAACAAAAUCUCUGGUAGAGGCUGAAGGCGACGUAGCGAAGUGGGCAGAGGAGGUGGCGCGCUGCCCGAGGGUCAAGAGGGGAAGAGAGGCCGCAGCUGUGGCGGCGUGCUCCUUCGAGUGGCGGUGGUCACGGGUGUGUUAGUGGAGGGUUGCGUCUGGUUGCUGAGGAGAGAUCGCGCGCACAAGCUCAAAACGAGAGAGGCAGAGGGCGAGUUGCUCCUGGGGUAGUGGAGGCGUCACCUGUGGAUCGAGGACGUGGGCUGGGCUCGCGGUAGGAGGCAGCGGCAUGUGGUGGAUUUUCAGUGGCUGUCGCGGGCUAGGGAGACGGUGGCGAUGGAGGAGAGCAGCGACGGCGCUGGCUGCACCGUGGGCUGCAGGCUGAUGUCGUACGAGGAGAAGCUGGGGUCGCGGCUACUGGCAGCGCUGUUGGCGAUGCGGUGGCCAGGGAUGGAGAGAUGCACGUGGAGAGCUCUUUCCCGCGAAUGUGACGCGGGCACGUCAUGAAAGCACGGAAUGAGGAGCUCUCCAGGUGACUUGACGCGGGCACAUCAUGAGGACAAAAACCUUUUCUGACGAAUCUGACCAUGAGCUUUCCAGGUGACUUGAUGCGGGCACGUCAUGAGGACAAGAACCCCUUCUGACGAAUCUGACCAUGAGCUCUUCAUGGGACUUGACGCGGGCAUGUCAUAAGGAUCGAAAUCCUUUUUACUAAGUACCAGAAAAUCGCAAUGUGCCACGUGCCCAGUUGACGCGGGCACGUCAUGUCAGAGGGAUGCCUAUGAAUCAUCACAAACGAAAAUUGAAACCAUAAAUCAGUCAAAUCCAAGGAAAAACAUAUUUAAACUAACAAACAAAAAUGAACAAACAACUAAAAGGAAUUGGGUUGCCUCCCAAUGAGCGCCUUUCUUUAAUGUCUUUGGCUAGACAUCAUCAUGUUUUGUUCAUGGAGGAUAAAAUCUUGUGGCUCGUCUUAAUGUUUCAUCCUCUAUAUAGUCCUGAUAGCCCUUGUAAAUAGAAUAAUUCUUGAGUACACGAGUUACGGGCUUCCAUGGACUAGUAAAUGGCGCCAAACAAGUCAACGAUAAUUUGCAUUCUCCACUCACUCCUCCAUCACUUGCAUUUAUUGGUUCAAGAUAUCUUGAUAUCGCCACUCUUAAUUUAUUCCUGUCAUGAAAUUCAAAAUUUUCUGGUAUAAUAAAGUCAAUUUCAUUAACAGAAAUUGAAGAAUAAGAGUCAAGAGAAUAUUGAUUAAGGAAUGGAGCAGAUGUCACCGCAUUUGGAGAUUGUUCACUGGAUUCAUUCACUUGGACGCAUUGAUAUUGGGUCUUAUUUCUUGCACUUCACUUUCCUUUUCAACUGCAUCUUUAGAUCCAUUUUCUUGAAACUUUUGCAGUCCCAUGUCAUUUGACCGGAUAAUUGCACUCUCAUCUUCUUCAAGGUUGAUAUUGGUUUGUGAGGGCAAUUUUUCAAGGUGAGAAGCUAAUCGCGCUAUCCUGGAUGUCAAUUGAUUCAUUUGAUCCGCCAUCGCUUGUAACUCCUGUUGAGAUCGAUAUGAAUUAGCAGUUAGUAAUUCUAUCAUUUCUUCAAGAGACAUACCUGACACGGAAGAUGAUUGCUGAGACUCUUGCUGUUGGAAAUCCAUUGGCCCGGUCGCAUAAUUAAAAUUGAAAUUAUCCCACUAUCCUUGAUCAUACCUGUUUGGAUAAGGGUCAUACCACGUUUGAAAUCGAGGUGAAAAAUCUCAAAAGUAUAAAUUGGAGCACUUAGAUUCUCUUAAAAUGCAGGGCAUGUGUCGGUUGAAUAACCUGAGAAGUUCCACAAUUUGCAACACCCUAUUGAUCAUUAGGAAAAACACGAGUCUCAUAACCCCAUUCAGGAAUAAAGUCCAGUCUAUCAUCAAAAUAUGGAAUGUUAGCAACCAUAAACUAUAUAAAAAAAAGAGAGAAAAAUAAAUAAAAAAAUAAAAACAAAAUGAACUAAAAAAGAAACAAAUUAAUCAGGCACCAGUCCCUGGCAACGGCGCCAAAAAUUGACAGGUUGUCAGCCUGUGCAAUAAUAAAACCUGCUUAAACUAAAAGUAAUUUCUGUAGAUAGCGGUGAGUAGGGUCGAAUCCACAGGGAUUGGGGGUAAUUAUUUCUUUUCAAAUUCACAGUGACAAGGGGGUGUUUUUAUAUCAGGGGUGACAAUUUAAAUAAUUUAACUAAAAGUAAAAUAAUAAAAAUAAAAUAGCCAACUAGAAAUUAAAUAACAAUUUACUAAAAUUUAAUGAGUGAUAAUUAAGGAUCUAGCCAAGGAAUAACUUCAGCAAUGGUUCACCUAAUUGAUCAGCGAAGCAAAGGCAAUUCCAAUUAUUUAUCAAUAAAUAAGUUAUAACUGCCAAACAAGCGAUGACAGUCAACCCCUCAUUACUGUAUCGGUGAUCAAUGUACGCCCGUUAAUCACUUCUCUAAUUGGAAAACAAUCCUAGGUACGCCCGUAAGAUUUAAUUCCCCAAUUGCUUUACGUAUUAGAGGAGCCCUAUUCUAACCAAAUAACGCACUACCAGGGUUAUUUCAGAUUAGCCCGUAUAUUCCCCUGACACAAACCAAAUCAUGCCAGUUGUCACUAUUUCAAGGCAAUUAAACAAUUACGGAUUUAAUGCCCUAAUUGACAAUAGAUUACCAAAUCAAUUAAUUAUCCGGAUCCAAAAUAAUCAAUUAAUUAAAUAACCAUAAGCAUAGCAAUCAAGGAAUAUGCGAAUACCAAUAAUUAAAAGGAAAAGAUUAAAUUAAAUCGAUCUCAUAAUUUUAGGCGAACCAAAGCCUCCGUUGUCCCUUGACUAGAAUGAAAAAAUUAGUUCAUAUUUGAUGCUAAAAACCCACGCAAAGGUGUAGAAAAAGCUGCGGCCAUUAUCCUUAAUCGAAAGAGUUCACUCCGUUCGAACAAAAGAACGAAUAGCAGGUCUUCUGAGAAUGAUUAAUUGACUAAUUGAAUAAUACUUGUCUUGACAUACGGAGAAAUAAGAGCUACUUGAGCCCACAAGGAAAAGUCAAAAGAAGUUAAGCUAAAAGAGACACAAUCAAAAGCUAAGCUAAAGGUAGUGCUUGCCCUAUGCACAAUUUUCCUAUCUAAAAGUCAUGCUACUUGCGGCGGCUCCUGCGUGCGGAGAGGAAGAAGCCUCUCGACGACUGCCCAGGUUUGCUUUCUUUUUCCCUUUUUUAGUUGCUCUCUUCGAUCAAAAUUACCAAAAAGGUCUUGCAUCUCCUUGUUCCAAGAAUGCCCUUGAUUGCCUGCUAUUUGAACUCUUUUCUGAUAACUGUCAAAUUGGCACUUAUUAUGGUAUUUUCGUUCUACUCCCUGAAAUAUAUGCCAAAUAUUAAAAGUAAGUAGAAUCCAACAAUUAAUCCACAUCGGGUUGGAUAAUAGGGAAAAUUAAUAAUAAAAUAAAUGAUAAAAUUGCAACCUAUCAGAAACAAACCCAUCCGUGGAAUGUUGGUAACAUCACUUUGUUUCCUAAAAGGCUUGUUGGUAACCUACUAGCUGAAAUAAGGACUUCAAGCUAAUAGCCAUCACCAUUCUUGACAAUGAUAAUUAAUGGGUAUAAAUGAAGAUAUUAAACAUAAAUCAUGUUUAAGGAUGCAUCAUACCACAGAAACAAUCUUGCAUUCUCAGAAGUUAUCAGGCUUCCCAUUUUCACAAUCUCUAUAUAGUAUGAAGUAGAACAGCAAAAAGGCAAGCUUUGAAUUAACAAUUCAAUUGCUCAGAAACUACCAUAACUUAAAACUGAAAACAACCCAACCUUUAGGAGGAAUAGCUCUUCAUCAUUCUUGAAAGAUCUCAGAUUAGAAAAACUGCACUUAAAGAGGUGUCCUGGGCUAGCAACGCAGGGGAAAGUGUUCAGAAGAAAGGGCUGUGAUGCUUCCCGAAGGAGAGUAAAUCUUGUCUACAAACCCAGUUGAAGGAGAUUCAUAUGUAUGAGCAUCUUGCAAUUCUGCCAUUAUCCUCCAUACGUCUCCAGCUCCAUGAUAAGGACCUGCAACAAGAACAAACAUUGUUCCAGGAAGUAAAAUGACAUUAUAUCAGAAAAAAAGGAAGAGUGAACAGAAAUAAUUGUAAGCAAUCAACUAAAGAACGUUGUCCUCAUUGAGAAAUAUCAACGAACAACUAUGUUGCAUAGUCCCUCAAAUUGGGAUGUUACAAUAACAAAAAAAACGAAAAGAAAUUUGAAUUGCAUUGAACAUCAAAACAAUCUAGAUUAAGCUAGCUGAUGAACAGUGAACUGAACAACAACAAUCCGAUUACUCAAAAAGGGUUCAAAUUUUGCUAAAAUUAGUAUACUUGUGUAGUCAAUUCACAUAUGAAUUGCACGAACCAAUACAAACUUAUUAAAAAAAAAACCUAGAAAUAUAAAUCACAACCUAGCUUAAAUAUACACUGAAAUUCGCUACAUACAUGCGAAAAAUAAUCACAGUCAAAGAAGUGAUUUUUCCACCAAGUAGAUUACAUAGGGAUAAAUUGAAGAAGACUAAAAAAGAAAAAGCCUGAAACAUCCAUAGAUUGCACAUCAUUUCUUAUAAAUUCUAAAUUAUAGAUAGAAUAUGAAAAAAAAAGGUAAAAUAUGUUUUGAGGGACAAGGAAUCCUCUGCCACCAGCAACAACUUAAUUUCAACAGAAUCUAAAACUACCAUCUUAUUAAAUUAUUUCAUGAGUCACCAUCUAAUUAGCUGCAAAAUACUUCAGGGAAUAGUAGAAACUAAUUGUCAUAAACAUUAACUUACAUCUCUAAGUAGCAUAAUGUUGUUAGUGAAGCCAAUACAGUCAAAAAAUAUGAAGUCUCGACACAAAUGCAAACAUGAAAAUAAAAAAGAGAAAAUAAUAAAAGUAAACAAAAGAAAUCAAGAUCAAACCAGCUGUAAAAGUGACUGUAUUUCUUUUUUCUUUACCCAAAGCCUCUAGCCACUCAGGCUAUAGAUGAUUCACCGCCAUGAACAUCAAGCCUCAAACCUCACCACUAUAUAUUUUACCCUAUUAAAAUCACCCAUCUUGGAUGCUUUAAUUUGCACUACGAAGAGAGGUAAUUCAAAGAUAUCCGACGCUUUAAUGUCCACCUCAGAUGUAAUUUGGGGAUGGUAAGUAGAUGGCAAACCAAUUUCUAAGUUAAAUCCCAAAUUAAGAAUCAAAAUCCUAAAUUAAAUUUCACUGCACGUUUUUAUGAAAGAGAUAGAAAUUGAUUGAGAUUUGGGAGAACAUCUGGGAAGGCAACACAACUAAAGACGGAGAAUCAGUAGGGAGAAGAAAAGGGAAAUGGGGGCAAACCUCGAUAAGCUUUCUCCGUCAGCCGAUUGCUGUAGUAGAGAGGAGUGAGAAGUGGGAGGGGAGAGGACAAAGGAAGGUGGCAAUUUUGGACAGAGGAAUUGUAGCAUCCUCCAUUGCAGCAUACUUUUCACACCGGCAUCGAUCUAUCCACAUAUAUCUCCUCAAAAGACACAUAUUUUCGCUUGACUGGCAUUAUACAUAAACCAGAAUCGAGAAUUGCAUCAUGUUAUCAAUCAUCCAUCCUAUUAUUUAACAAAGGAUACACUGAUUGGGAUGCAAAGUUCACUACCAUUAAACAGGCGUACAGACUUAACUCAACCAGCAACAAGAGAGAAUAACUUUUCAGAAGGAAGCAAUGCAAAACAGGAGAACGGAAAGUAUACCUAUUUCUCACAAUCCCAGCACUAUUAUACGAAAAUGCAACUUUAAUUCAGCCUACAAUAACAGAAAGUUACCUUCCAACAGCAGCAACAAAAAGUAGUCAGACAAAACAAAGUCGAAGUAUUCCACAGCCACACCACGCACCUGCACAAUUAAGAGCAAGAUCAUAACCCAAUUAAAACAGACAUUAUAAAGGCGAAAUAAAAACUCUAAUCAAUAUGCAUACAACUACUGAAGCCACAAUAUAUUAAAAACACACAACCACAACUAAGCCACCACCGUUGAACCAGAAGAAAUCAAAAUCAACACAACAAGCAAAAGCAUAACAAAUAGAAACCAAAAAUUUAAGGAGUCAAUUCAUUGAGUCCAAUCUCCCAGGGAACCAUAAAAAAAACCAAUAAAUAAGGUUGCUCUACGUCCACGCAUUGGAAACAAACUCAGUUCAAUUCAACCUGAGAAACGCAAGUGCAAAAGCUAAAUGGACUCCUAUGGCGAAAUGGAGGAUCGGUCUGAAGUGAAAGAAAGAAAACCAGGAGAAACUCCUGGGACCUUAAUGGGUGCCAAGAUGGCAGAACUACAAAAACGGAAGGAGAAACUCACGAAGGCUAAGGAUGAGGCGGUACAAUCGUGGUCAGAUUCCAGACCUAUGAUUGAUGAGCUUGAAAAGCUGCAGUCGGAACUUGCUGAUGCACAGAGUCGAACAGCCUCAUCCAACGUUACUAUUUCAGAGCUUGACUCUCAGCUUGAAAGGUUGAGUAUCUCUAUCAGGGCUAAGGAGGAGGAAGAACUGAAGAUCCGAACAAUGAUCAACAGGAUAAAUCAGGUCUUGCAACAGACGUAGGAAGAGAUGGAGGAGUUCAAGAUGGAAAGAGAUGAAAAACACAGAACAGGAUUGAAACUAAAGCAAGUUCUAUGUCUAAGGUGACAGACUCUUCGCACUUUGCAACUCACCCUCAGAGCAAUACGAUUAGAAUCAGAAGCUUAUGCUGCAUCAGCUCAUGAAGCACGACGCUACAUCAGCCUUUUCCAGACAGAUGACACUAUGGUCCAGCUUACUCAAGAAGAGUACCAUGCAUUAACAAAAAGAGCAAGAGACGAAACUUCGUUGGCAGAAUGGCGAAUUGCAGUCUCUAUGGAACAAAAGCAGGCAGCCGAGGAAAGCCAAGAGACAGCUGCUAGAAGAUUGCAGAACUUGUAUUCAAAGAAUGGAUCAGGGAAAAGGAAACAUCCCGCUAAUGGGGUCUUAAAAGUUUAAAGAGCAAUUUUCUACAAUUAAUGUCAAUAUAAUUUGUAAUCGUAUUUGUGAGAGGAAAAUUUGAAGGUUGUGCUUUUGUUGUAUUAUAAAUUUAAUCACAACUUCUAACCAAAUUUAUUUUAACAACACAAAUAAAAAAUCGUACUUGGUUAAAUAUUGAAUUCCGCUAUAUAAGAUUUUUGUAAUACUAACAAUAGUUGUUCUUGUAAUGACAACUAACAAUGGAAUAUAUUAUUUUGUUCGCUAAAUAAUAUUAGCUGAUUAUAUACGUGCAUAGCACAUGAUUUUUUCUAGUAAUUUGAAGUGUUCUAGAGAUACCAUUAGGAAUAAAGUUUACGAAAUGUGGCAUGAGCAGGUGAGCUUUGUCCGAUCUUUUAGGUUGGUAUAGUUCUUAUUAUUGGUAAACCCUAUUAAUUCUUUUUAAACAAACUUACUGCUUCAUUAGAUAAAAACUACGAUACAUUUGGCAAAUUCUACUAGUUUCCAGGCAAAUUCUACUAGUUUCCCAUUUAAAUGAGAUUCACAAUCUGGAAAAUCAUUUUUAUUUUUUUUUAUAAUCUCCCCGCAAUUUACAAUGAGUUCAGAGUGCUACCUUUGGUCAAUUUAGAAGAAUUUCCAUAAAGUCAUAAAAUAUCACAUAAGCAUUUUCAGAAGUAAUGUGACAAUCUUUUUAAAACGGCAUUGUGUGUCACUUGUCACCCGUUUCGAUGUUCCAUUGCCAUUGGAUGCAUUUCUAAGGCCUCGCUUGAAUACUUAAAUUAAUUUAUGUUUCUUUUUUCUCAAGCCCUAAAUAUAAAUUUGAAAUAACCUAAUCAACAAUAUAAAGCAAACAAUUUAGUAGAGCGAAAUGAAAAGAACUCUGAAACACAUAAUGUAGUCAUAAUCGGCGUUUUACAACGCCUUUUUUUAUUUUUUCAAUUUUUUUUCUUUUUUUGGGUUUUUUGUUUUGACUUUGAUGUACCCCUAACUAUUACACAUAGAUAAAAAGGAAAGAGAGAAAUUUACUACAUAAGACCCUAUGUAGCACGAAAAAACAAAGUAGACCUUGCACUGAAAACAUUAGCAGACACAACUACUGAUAAUCAUAGACUGAAUGGACACCAUUUUAUUUUGUUUUUCCUUUUUUUCAAUUUUUUUUUCUUUUAUUGCGGUACCAAACGACUGAAGGAUGAUGGUAAUGAGUGCAUCCACCCUAAUUAGGGCAAAUUUCGAUGCCCUUGAUAAUAAUGCCAGACUUCCAGAUUGUAUCACUGGUUUGAAAAAUCCUAGCUUCUGCCGUGGAACUUCUUCCGCGGUUGUUGACGAAGUCACCCAAGUUCAAUUCCUUCCAUCCAUCACUACGGGGUUGAGGAUAUAUGCCCGGAUCCUUCGAAUCUUGUGACUUGUCAAUGAACACACUAUAACCUUCAUCAUCAGUUCCCUUAGCCUUUUCUUCAGUAAAUCUAACCGAUGCAGUUGCUUUUUCAAGUCCCUUUGGCUUGGCAUUAAGUUUGAACACGAGAUAUGUUGAAUAGGAGCUGCCCCAUGGGAGUUGGGCUGUCAACGGGCCGGGUCCGGGUCGGAAUUCAUUAUUCCGGACCCAGACCCGAAUUACUAUACCGGAUCCGACCCGUUUACCCGACGGGUCUUUUAUUCUAUGUUUCGGAUCCGGAUUCGGCGGGUCCCGGGUCCGGGUCGGGUCUACCCGCACAAAUUUAGCAAAAUUUAUAAAUUCUAAUAAAAAUGAGAAAAAAAUAUAUUUGUAAACUAAUUUCUAACUAAUGCAAAGAAAAAACCAAAUAAGCAAAGAAAUCAAAUUGACUUUACUCAAAUACAUCACCCUAAUCAAAUUAUAUUGAUAAAUAUAUAUUUUUUAAAUUAUUAAUUCAUUUAUAUCCGGAUCCGGGUCUAAUACGGGUCGGAAUACUAUAUUCCGUAUUCGACCCGUUUUUUUGUUUGACAAAACGGAAUUAAAUCCCUACCCAUACCCGCAAUAAUUUCACGGAUCCGGUCCGGAUCCGGGUCUAGACCCGACCCGUUGGCAGGCCUACUUGAGAGGUCCCUAGCAGGGACAUUGGUUCGAAUGUCAAACCAGCAAACUUCAACAAGCUCGGCAACCUCGAAGCUGUACAAAGGCAUUAAAAUCAGUUUAGGAUAAUCUUCGAAAGUCAUCAACUAACUAAAGGGAGAAGUGAGAUAAUAAUAUAAAUGCAAUAGGACUAUAUACAGGACGGGUAUGUGUGAAGUAAGUUCAGGAGGUUUACCCAGAAGGUACAUCAGUGUACCACUUCCAAUAGCGUUUAUCAUUACCGUGAUAAAUCACUAGAUCCCUCGCGUUGAUGGUGUAAGCCUGUGAUGGAAAAUUGAGCAUCGACAAGUUAAUUAAUCUUUAAAGGCAAAAUAACAAAAGACUGAUGAGUAGUUCUCGUAUUGAUGCAAACUAAUAACGACUGUUAUAGCUAGUUAUAUACCAUGUUGAAUAGAUGCAGCUCUGGAGUAGUGUUGGAAGGACCGUACGUUUUGUGGAAUGAGGGAUUGAAGAUUGGGGGAAUGGAUAUUUAUAGGCCUAUCUGAUUAAGUAACGUUUUGCAGAUAUUUCCACUCUGAGCUCAUCAGAGAUGUGUAGAAACGUGUUUCGUGCUGGUGUGAAGGUCAGAUGCUGAUGUGAAUGAGGGUGGCCUCUCACAAACCCCAAAUAUGACCAAGUACUAAGCUAUACGCUCCGCCACUUGAAAGUGUAACCAACCAACCUUAGUAUCAACAGUCAUAUAUCUUUAUCAUAGUCUGCUGUAUCAAUAUACACUAUUCUUUUCCUAAUGAAUUCACCUUCCUAUUUGUAGCGCUGAAUACAUUUGGCUAAUUCUCGUUUUGAUAUUUCACAUGAUUAUAAAUUAUGAUUUUAAAUAAUGUGUUUUUCUUGUGUUCUAGUUUUCUUUUUUGUCUAGAUCCUGGAUUUUUCACAUUCGGAAAAAGCCACGAUCUUGAAUCUACCAAAGAUCAAGCAGCUCUAUCAGAGUCCAAUUAUUCUCUGCCAUCUCUUUCUAUAGUCAAUUUUUGUAAAAACCAUAGUGAAUGCUUAUGGGAAAGUCUUCUUUGCAUGUCUAAAGAUUAGAUGAUAAAAUGAAAAUGGUAGAGCUGGUAAAUGGCACAAUUGGCAAUGUAAAAGAAGGAUAGAGCUUGCAUCAUAGGAAAAACAUCGGAUUUGUACCAUGGAAACUGUAGCAUUUCAAUUUUUUUUCUCGCACACUUGUUCAAAAAAUUUAGCAUAAUUGAAGAAAACAAAAGAUAUAAAGAGGCAAACAAAGAAAAGGAUUGAAGAUUGCCAAGGAAAAGGAAUUAUUUGAAGAGUCUUAACGAUACCAUUAAGGAUAAAUUUAAGGAUACGGAGCAGGUGUAAUUGUGUUUUGUCCAGUUUUAUUUGUAUGGUAUAAAUCAUACAAAAUUUAAUGUAAACUCACAUGACUUUCAUGUAGUUAUUGGUGCCGUUGAUGUAUGUAGAUUAGCUCUAUAUACAAAAUAAAUAUACAAAAUAGAGUCUUAUAACAAAUAUACAAAAUCUUGUAAGAAUUACGAUAACGGGACAAAAUUGAAUAAAGCUUAACUAUACUUGUACCCUUGCAAAAUUUUUAUGUUGUGUGAACGCACUUGGUUGGUUUGACCUGCUGGCAAAUACCUAAAUGAACUCUUGUCCAAGAAAAACCUUUCCGACACCUCUAGUUGUUACUAGAUACUACAUUAUAGACUCAUCACUUGAGGAAAAGUUGGGAGGAAUUUUUUUUUUUGGUCAAGGUCAAGACUUAACAAAAGGCCUUUAUGGGAUAGAAGAAUCAUUUUACGUCCAAAACGGGACACAUAAAAGUCUAUCAAGACCAAGACUUAUAAAAAAGACGUACACUAUACUGUACACUUACAAUACAUAUUUCAAAAAUAAAUUAAUUAGUUAAAUACUUGCUAAAUCAAGCAAUUUUGUCAAGACCAACAUUGUAAAUAGCUGUAGACUAGUAGUAAUAUGAACAUCACACUUAAAAGUUUUGAAAUUUCACAAGAUGCGACAAGUGAAAAUUGUGCAAAGUGACAUGAAAGCAAGAUUCUAGAUCAAAAUAGUUGUUACUUAAUUUAAAUUCGCAGAUUCAUUCAUCCAAAAAAAAAUUUUCACAGAUUCAAAUAGAAAAUCUGAAUGAUAAAAAGACAAUAACAUAAAUUAGCCAAAAUCACUAGCGCAAAUUCCACUGUUCAUUUAAAAAAACUUACUAUUAUAAUUGCAAAGUUCACCUUGCCUUUCCUAGUUGUUACCACAUUUUUGGUAAAUCAUAUUAAUUUUUUGAACAAACUUUCUACUUCAUUAGCUAAGCACUGCAAUUCAGUUUGGUAAACCCUACUACUUUUCCAACAAAUGAGAUUCAAAAUUUGGAAACUAAAUUUUAUUUUUUUAUCAUCUCCGAACAAUUUAGUAUUAGUUCAUACAAAUUUUGGUCAAUUUCGGAGAAUGGUCAUAAAUUGAUAGAAAUUCAAACAGGUAUUUCUAGGAAGUAAUGUUACAGUUUCUUUUAAAAUAGGAUUAUAUAUCAUUUGGUAGCUAACGUGAUGUCCCGUUGACAUUCGAUGCACUGCUACGGCCUUUCUUAGGUAUUGCAAUUAAUUAGGGUUGGCACUUGAAACCUAAAAGAGCCUAAUCAACAAGGUUGAAAACAAACAAUUCGUUAAAAUGAGAAUAAAAAGCUCCAAACCACACAAUGCGCAGAUGUUGCUUUGGAGUUUUGGAGGGACUAUUUCAUUGAAAGAGGAUUGAAGAUUGAGGAAAUGGAUAAUUAAGUGGCCUUUGUGGAUAUUUCCACAGUGGCCUCAUCAUGGACAUCAAAAACGUGUUCCACGUUGGUCCUUCUCAUUCUUUUACACGUACUAAGAUAAACGUAAUCCUUGGCAAAAUUCACACCGUCGUUGGUUUAUCCUUCUAGUUGAAGGGCACAAAAUGUACCAAUCAUAGUAGUAGCUCCGACAAUGACAUUAGGUAACAUCAAUUGCUCAAUAUCCGUGAAUGCAAUGUUAAGUUAAAACUUAGAUUUUAGUUUUUUUUUUGUCAAAUAAAACUUAGAGUUUAGUUAUGACUACACUGAACUGCUAAACCAUCAUCAGGUCACAACGUUGCCACUCCAAUUAUACCCAAAAGAUUAUCAUGGUAACUUGCAAUCAAUUUGAAUCACACACCAUUCUCGAUAUAACUAAAUCAUGGAAUAUUUUGAACCAUAAUUCACACUUCGAGAUCCUAAACAUUGAUAAAUUACAAGUAUGAUAGGCUUAUUUGUUACCUACACUUGCGACUAUUUCUAGGAGAAUAAGAAAUUCCAUAGGCCCAUUGAUCAAGGAAGUUCGUUUAAAUAUAUCACCAUGAAUCUUGUGAAAUAACAUAUUUCCAGUAUACACAAUCCGACUAGUUAGUUGAAUAUGUCAAAUAUUAAUUGAUAUGAAUCAAUCAUCAUAAAUGCCAAACAAUCAUCUGAAGACACCAAUCAAUCAUGUCAGUUACCUUAUGUCCAAAAAGAUUGAAUCAAUAGUUAGUUAUAUUUUCCAUAAAAAAAAAAAACAAGCCUUGUUGUCAGUUAUGUUUUCCGCGAGUAUCUUGUCAGGAAAACAAACCAUAAAUGGAGGAAUCUUGUAGACCUCAGAAGAAUGUUAGAGACGAGGUUUUUUCUUUGCACUAAAUUUUAAAAAUCUAAAUAUUCUAUUUUUUGCAAGUAUACAGAUUGUUUAUCAAGAAUAGGACAUAUUAGGUAUGGAUCUCAGAGGCAAGAUUGUCAAUUACUGAUGAUUUUCAAACUUCUUUAUUAUUUAAGUUAUCACAAAUACAAGAAAAUAAAUCUACUUUACAAACAUGAAAUAAAAGGAGUAAAAAUAGCAAUAGAAAGCUUCUGGGGCUAUGGCAUUCCUAACUAGGGUGAUGAUAUCUCUAGAACUUACUCCUUCGAAAGACUCCUCAAGAGGGGUUAAAUGUGAAUCAUUCAUGCUCAUCUCUUGAUGUUCAACCUUAGUUUCAAAGAUACAAUCAUGUAAAAUGGACAUUUCGUCAUUGGAACACAAAUUAUAUUCAUCAUUUUGAUCAAAAUGCAAUCCACUUUCACAUACAACAUUCCCACCAUUCACAAUAGGAUCAACUUACAUAUUAUUAGAAGAUAUAACUUCACACAAGGCAUGUCUUAAAUUCUACCAAAUUGAGAAGCUAAUUCAUCUAAUAUAUUCUCAACCCUAUCAAAAUGGUCAGAAGUCGUAUUAGCUAACCUUUCAAUUGCUAAUUUCCAAGACAAAAGUGCAUUAACUAACCUUUCAAUUGCUAACUUCCAAAAUGGCUUUGAUUCAAGUUGGACAAAUUCGAAUUGGUAAUUAUGAAAAUACAGAGGAGCAUUAUAUCUACAUUGAUUAUCUCAACUAUAAACAUAAGAAUUAUCCCAAUUAGGAUCAUAUUGAUCAAAACAAGGAUUGAAAGGCUCAAAUUCAUCAUAAUAAUCUACAUUUUGUGCGUGUCUACAUGUACGAGUAGCAUGAUAAUCGCCACACAAGUUACAAAUUACAUGAUUAGAAUUAAAAAUAUUAACAUUUUUUUUCUUUUCUUUCUUUUUUUUUUAUUUGGCGAACCCCAUACACGGGGAGGGACGCCACCCCUGAAUAUUAUUAAUAAAAACCAUAAAAGACACAUACAAUGCCAAUCAAUCGAGCACAACCCUACUGCGUAUUACAGGAAUUCCUGCUCUAUCCAAACCCAUGGCCCCCCCUAGCGGGUCUUGGUAACUCCGAAUGGGAGGUAUACAUGCCACUCAACGACCCUUGCACCCCCACCUUAGACAAGAUGUCCGUCACCUGGUUUGCUUCUCGAAAACAAUGACCCACAGUCCAAUCCGAACCCAACAUUGACUAGAUUGCCUCUACAUCAAAGCGAAUCAGCCAUGGACAUCUCGACUUGCCAGGGAGAACAUUUACUAAUAGUAGAGAGUCCACCUCCACCUGUACCCUGGAGACACCCCGUAACAGGCACUGCUGCACCCCAUAUAGCAACGACUUGGUUUCAGCUUGCAAACUUGUCAUCUAUCCGAGGGGAAUGGAAAAACCAAAUAGCAAAUCACCAGAGGAGUCCUGAAGGACACCACCCCCUCCACUAGGCCCUGGGUUACCUAAUGAACAUCUAUCCGUAUUUAACUUGCAGAUCCCCUGAAACGGCAGUUCCCAAUAGACCACCCUAUGGGAGUAUCGAGGCCUCCAUCCAUACAUCCUAGAGUAAAAAGCAUGCCAGGAAACAAACCCAUCCGUGGAAUGUUGGUAACAUCACUUUGUUUCCUAAAAGGCUUGUUGGUAACCUACCAGCUGAAAUAAGGACUUCAAGCUAAUAGCCAUCACCAUUCUUGACAAUGAUAAUUAAUGGGUAUAAAUGAAGAUAUUAAACAUAAAUCAUGUUUAAAGAUGUAUCAUACCACAGAAACAAUCUUGCAUUCUUAGAAGUUAUCAGGCUUCCCAUUUUCACAAUCUCUAAAUAGUAUGAAGUAGAACAGCAAAGAGGCAAGCCCUGAAUUAACAAUUCAAUUGCUCAGAAACUACAUUUGCAGCACCUAUGAUAACUUAAAACUGAAAAUAACCCAACCUUUAGGAGGAAUAGCACUUCAUCAUUCUUGAAAGAUCUCAGAUUAGAAAAACUGCACUUAAAGAGGUGUCCUGGGCUAGCAACGCAGGGGAAAGUGUUCAGAAGAAAGGGCUGUGAUGCUUCCCGAAGGAGAGUAAAUCUUGUUUACAAACCCAGUUGAAGGAGAUUCAUAAGUAUGAGCAUCUUGCAAUUCUGCCAUUAUCCUCCAUACGUCUCCAGCUCCAUGAUAAGGACCUGCAACAAGAACAAACAUUGUUCCAGGAAGUAAAAUGACAUUAUAUCAGAAAAAAAGGAAGAGUGAACGGAAAUAAUUGUAAGCAAUCAACUAAAGAACGUUGUCCUCAUUGAGAAAUAUCAACGAACAACUAUGUUGCAUAGUCCCUCAAAUUGGGAUGUUACAAUAACAAAAAAAACGAAAAGAAAUUUGAAUUGCAUUGAACAUCAAAACAAUCUAGAUUAAGCUAGCUGAUGAACAGUGAACUGAACAACAACAAUCCGAUUACUCAAAAAGGGUUCAAAUUUUGCUAAAAUUAGUAUACUUGUGUAGUCAAUUCACAUAUGAAUUGCACGAACCAAUACAAACUUAUUUAAAAAAAAACCUAGAAAUAUAAAUCACAACCUAGCUUAAAUAUACACUGAAAUUCGCUACAUACAUGCGAAAAUUAAUCACAGUCAAAGAAGUGAUUUUUCCCACCAAGUAGAUUACAUAGGGAUAAAUUGAAGAAGACUAAAAAAGAAAAAGCCUGAAACAUCCAUAGAUUGCACAUCAUUUCUUAUAAAUUCUAAAUUAUAGAUAGAAUAUGAAAAAAAAGGUAAAAUAUGUUUUGAGGGACAAGGAAUCCUCUGCCACCAGCAACAACUUAAUUUCAACAGAAUCUAAAACUACCAUCUUAUUAAAUUGUUUCAUGAGUCACCAUCUAAUUAGCUGCAAAAUACUUUAGGGAAUAGUAGAAACUAAUUGUCAUAAACAUUAACUUACAUCUCUAAGUAGCAUAAUGUUGUUAGUGAAGCCAAUACAGUAAAAAAAUAUGAAUUCUCAGACACAAAUGCAAACAUGAAAAUAAAAAAGAGAAAAUAAUAAAAGUAAACAAAAGAAAUCAAGAUCAAACCAGCUGUAAAAGUGACUGUAUUUCUUUUUUCUUUACCCAAAGCCUCUAGCCACUCAGGCUAUAGAUGAUUCACCGCCAUGAACAUCAAGCCUCAAACCUCACCACUAUAUAUUUUACCCUAUUAAAAUCACCCAUCAUGGAUGCUUUAAUUUGCACUACGAAGAGAGGUAAUUCAAAGAUAUCCGACGCUUUAAUGUCCACCUCAGAUGUAAUUUGGGGAUGGUAAGUAGAUGGCAAACCAAUUUCUAAGUUAAAUCCCAAAUUAAGAAUCAAAAUCCUAAAUUAAAUUUCACUGCACGUUUUUAUGAAAGAGAUAGAAAUUGAUUGAGAUUUGGGAGAACAUCUGGGAAGGCAACACAACUAAAGACGGAGAAUCAGUGGGGAGAAGAAAAGGGAAAUGGGGGCAAACCUCGAUAAGCUUUCUCCGUCAGCCGAUUGCUGUAGUAGAGAGGAGUGAGAAGUGGGAGGGGAGAGGACAAAGGAAGGUGGCAAUUUUGGACAGAGGAAUUGUAGCAUCCUCCAUUGCAGUAUACUUUUCACACCGGCAUCGAUCUAUCCACAUAUAUCUCCUCAAAAGACACAUAUUUUUGCUUGACUGGCAUUAUACAUAAACCAGAAUCGAGAAUUGCAUCAUGUUAUCAAUCAUCCAUCCUAUUAUUUAACAAAGGAUACACUGAUUGGGAUGCAAAGUUCACUACCAUUAAACAGGCGUACAGACUUAACUCAACCAGCAACAAGAGAGAAUAACUUUUCAGAAGGAAGCAAUGCAAAACAGGAGAACGGAAAGUAUACCUAUUUCUCACAAUCCCAGCACUAUUAUACGAGGAUGCAACUUUGAUUCAGCCUACAAUAACAGAAAGUUACCUUCCAACAGCAGCAACAAAAAGUAGUCAGACAAAACAAAGUCCAAGUAUUCCACAGCCACACCACGCACCUGCACAAUUAAGAGCAAGAUCAUAACCCAAUUAAAACAGACAUUAUAAAGGCGAAAUAAAAACUCUAAUCAAUAUGCAUACAACUACUGAAGCCACAAUAUAUUAAAAACACACAACCACAACUAAGCCACCACCGUUGAACCAGAAGAAAUCAAAAUCAACACAACAAGCAAAAGCAGAACAAAUAGAAACCAAAAAUUUAAGGAGUCAAUUCAUUGCAAUCCAACCUCCCAGGGAACCAUAAAAAAAACCAAUAAAUAAGGUUGCUCUACGUCCACGCAUUGGAAACAAACUCAGUUCAAUUCAACCUGAGAAACGCAAGUGCAAAAGCUAAAUGGACUCCUAUGGCGAAAUGGAGGAUCGGUCUGAAGUGAAAGAAAGAAAACCAGGAGAAACUCCUGGGACCUUAAUGGGUGCCAAGAUGGCAGAACUACAAAAACGGAAGGAGAAACUCACGAAGGCUAAGGAUGAGGCGGUACAAUCGUGGUCAGAUUCCAGACCUGUGAUUGAUGAGCUUGAAAAGCUGCAGUCGGAACUUGCAGAUGCACAGAGUCGAACAGCCUCAUCCAACGUUACUAUUUCAGAGCUUGACUCUCAGCUUGAAAGGUUGAGUAUCUCUAUCAGGGCUAAGAAGGAGGAAGAACUGAAGAUCCGAACAAUGAUUAACAGGAUAAAUCAGGUCUUGCAACAGACGCGGGAAGAGAUGGAGGAGUUCAAGAUGGAAAGAGAUGAAAAACACAGAACAGGAUUGAAACUAAAGCAAGUUCUACGUCUAAGGUGGCAGACUCUUCGCACUUUGCAACUCACCCUCAGAGCAAUACGAUUAGAAUCAGAAGCUUAUGCUACAUCAGCUCAUGAAGCACAACGCUACAUCAGCCUUUUCCAGACAGAUGACACUAUGGUCAAGCUUACUCAAGAAGAGUACCAUGCAAUAACAAAAAGAACAAGAGACGAAACUUCAUUGGCACAAUGGCGAAUUGCAGUCUCUAUGGAACAAAAGCAGGCAGCCGAGGAAAGCCAAGAGACAGCUGCUAGAAGAUUGCAGAACUUGUAUUCAAAGAAUGGAUCAGGGAAAAGGAAACAUCCCGCUAAUGGGGUCUUAAAAGUUUAAAGAGCAAUUUUCUACAAUUAAUGGCAAUAUAAUUUGUAAUCGUAUUUGUGAGGGGAAAAUUUGAAGUUUGUGCUUUUGUUGUAUUAUAAAUUUAAUCACAACUUCUAACCAAAUUUAUUUUAACAACACAAAUAAAAAAUCGUACUUGGUUAAAUAUUGAAUUCCGCUAUAUAAGAUUUCUGUAAUACUAACAAUAGUUGUUCUUGUAAUGACAACUAACAAUGGAAUAUAUUAUUUUGUUCGCUAAAUAAUAUUAGCUGAUUAUAUACGUGCAUAGCACAUGAUUUUUUCUAGUAAUUUGAAGUGUUCUAGAGAUACCAUUAGGAAUAAAGUUUACGAAAUGUGGCAUGAGCAGGUGAGCUUUGUCCGAUCUUUUAGGUUGGUAUAGUUCUUAUUAUUGGUAAACCCUAUUAAUUCUUUUUAAACAAACUUACUGCUUCAUUAGAUAAAAACUACGAUACAUUUGGCAAAUUCUACUAGUUUCCAGGCAAAUUCUACUAGUUUCCCAUUUAAAUGAGAUUCACAAUCUGGAAAAUCAUUUUUAUUUUUUUUAUAAUCUCCCCGCAAUUUACAAUGAGUUCAGAGUGCUACUUUUAGUCAAUUUAGAAGAAUUUCCAUAAAGUCAUAAAAUAUCACAUAAGCAUUUUCAGAAGUAAUGUAACAUUCUUUUUAAAACGGCAUUGUGUGUCACUUGUCACCCGUUGCGAUGUUCCAAUGUCAUUAGAUGCAUUUCCGAGGCCUCGCUUACAUAGUUAAAUUAAGUUAUGUUUCUUUUUCUCAAGCCCUAAUCAACAAUACAAAGCAAACAAUUUAGUAGAGGGAAAUGAAAAGAACUCUGAAACACAUAAUGUAGUCAUAAUCGGCGUUUUGCAACGCCUUUUUUUCUUUUUUCAAUUUUUUUCUUUUUUUGGGUUUUUGUUUUGACUUUGAUGUACCCCGAGCUCUUACAAAUGGAUAAAAAGGAAAGAGAGAAAAUUACUACUAAUAAUUAUAGACUGAACGGACACCAUUUUGUUUUUGUUUUUCCCUUUUUUUUCAAUUUUUUUUCUUUUACUGUGGUACAAAACGACUGAAGGAUGAUGGUAAAGAGUGCAUCCACCCUAAUUAGGGCGAAUUUCAAUGCCCUUGAUAAUAAUGCCAGACUUCCAGAUUGUAUCACUGGUUUGAAAAAUCCUAGCUUCUGCCGUGGAACUUCUUCCGCGGUUGUUGACGAAGUCACCCAAGUUCAAUUCCUUCCAUCCAUCACUACGGGGUUGAGGAUAUAUGCCCGGAUCCUUCGAAUCUUGUGACUUGUCAAUGAACACACUAUAGCCUUCGUCAUCAGUUCCCUUAGCCUUUUCUUCAGUAAACAUAACCGAUGCAGUUGCUUUUUCAAGUCCCUUUGGCUUGGCAUUAAGUUUGAACACGAGAUAUGUCGAAUAGGAACUGCCCCUUGGGAGGUCCCUAGCAGGCACACUGGUUCGAAUGUCAAACCAGCAAACUUCAACAAGCUCGGCAACCUCGAAGCUGUACAAAGGCAUUAGAAUCAGUUUAGGAUAAUCUUCGAAAGUCAUCAACUAACUAAAGGGAGAAAGUGAGAUAAUAAUAUAAAUGCAAUAGGACUAUAUACAGGACGGGUAUGUGUGAAGUAAGUUCAGGAGGUUUACCCAGAAGGUACAUCAGUGUACCACUUCCAAUAGCGUGUAUCAUUACCGUGAUAAAUCACUAGAUCCCUCGCGUUGAUGGUGUAAGCCUGUGAUGGAAAAUUGAGCAUCGACAAGUUAAUUAAUCUUUAAAGUCAAAAUAACAAAAGACUGAUGAGUAGUUCUCGCAUUGAUACAAACUAAUAACGACUGUUAUAGCUAGUUAUAUACCAUGUUGAAUAGAUGCAGCUCUGGAGUAGUGUUGGAAGGACUGUACGUUUUGUGGAAUGAGGGAUUGAAGAUUGCGGGAAUGGAUAUUUAUAGGCCUAUCUGAUUAACUGACGUUUGCAGAUAUUUCCAAUCUUACCUCAUCAGAGAUGUGUAAAAACGUGUUUCGUGCUGGUGUGAAGGUCAGAUGCUGAUGUGAAUGAGGGUGGCCUUUCACAAAACCACAAAUAUGAGUAUAUGACCAAGUACUAAGCUAUACGCUCCGCCACUUGAAAGUGUAUCCAACCAACCUUAGUGUCAACUGUCAUAUAUCUUUAGCAUAGUCAGCUGUAUCAAUAUACACUAUUCUUUUCCUAAUGAAUUCACCUUUCUCUUUGUAGCGCUGAAUACAUUUGGCUAAUUCUCGUUUUGAUAUUUCACCUGAUUAUAAAUUAUGAUUUUAAAUAAUGUGUUUUUCUUGUGUUCUAGUUUUCUUUUUUGUCUAGAUCUUGGAUUUUCACAAUUGGAAAAAGCUACGAUCUUGAAUCUACCAAAGAUCAAACAGCUCUAUCCGAAUCCAAUUAUUCUCUGCCAUCUCUUUCUACGGGCAAUUUUUGUAAAAACCAUAGCGAAUGCUUAUGGGAAAGUCUUCUUUGCAUGUCUAAAGAUUAGAUGAUAAAAUGAAAAUGGUAGAGCUGGUAAAUGGCACAAUUGGCAAUGUAAAAGAAGGAUAGAGCUUGCAUCGUAGGAAAAACAUGGGAUUUGUACCAUGGAAACUAUAACAGUUCGAUUUUUUUUCUCCCACAGUUGUUCAAAAAAUUUAGCAUAAUUUGUAUGAUUGAAGAAAACAAAAGAUUUAAAGAGGCAAACAAAGAAAAGGAUUGAAGAUUGCCAAGGAAAAGGAAUUAUUUGAAGAGUCUUAACGAUACCAUUAAGGAUAAAUUUAAGGUUACCGAGCAGGUGUAAUCGUGUUUUGUCCAAUUUUAUUUGUACGGUAUAAAUCAUACAAAAUUUAAUGUAAACUUACAUGACUUUCGUGUAGUUAUUGGUGCCGUUGAUGUAUGUAGAUUAGCUCUAUAGCACAUACAUGAAAUCUUGUAAUAAAUAUACAAAAUAGAGUCUUAUAACAAAUAUACAAAAUCUUGUAAGAAUUACGCUAACGGGAUAAAAUUGAAUAAAGCUUAACUAUACUUGUACCCUUGCAAAAUUUUUAUGUUGUGUGAACGCACUUGGUUGGUUUGACCUGCUGGCAAAUACCUAAAUGAACUCUUGUCGACGAAAAACCUUUCCAACACCUCUAGUUGUUACUAGAUACUACACUAUGACCAUCACUUGUGGAAAAGUUGGGAGGGAAUUUUUUUUUUUUUUUUUGGUCAAGGUCAAGAAUUAACAAAAGGCCUUUAUGGGAUAGAAGAAUCAUUUUACGUCCAAAACGGGACACAUAAAAGUCUAUCAAGACCAAGACUUAUAAAAAAGACGUACACUAUACUGUACACUUACAAUACAUAUUUCAAAAAUAAAUUAAUUAGUUAAAUACUUGCUAAAUCAAGCAAUUUUGUCAAGACCAACAUUGUAAACAGCUGUAGACUAGUAGUAAUAUGAACAUCAAACUUAAAAGUUUUGAAAUUUCACAAGAUGCGACAAGUGAAAAUUGUGCAAAGUGACAUGAAAGCAAGAUUCUAGAUCAAAAUAGUUGUUACUUAAUUUGAAUUCGCAGAUUCAUUCAUCCAAAAAAAAAAUUUCACAGAUUCAAAUAGAAAAUCUGAAUGAUAAAAAGACAAUAACAUAAAUUAGCCAAAAUCACUUGUGCAAAUCUCACUGUUCAUUCAAAAAAACUUACUAUUAUAUUUGCGAAGUUCACCUUGUCUUUCCUAGUUGUUACCACUUAUUUGGCAAAUCAUAUUCAUUUUCCGAACAAACUUUCUACUUCAUUAGCUAAGCACUGCAAUUCAGUUUGGUAAACCCUACUACUUUUCCAACAAAUGAGAUUCAAAAUUUGGAAACUAAAUUUUAUUUUUUUAUCAUCUCCAAACAAUUUAGUAUUAGUUCAUACAAAUUUUGGUCAAUUUCGAAGAAUUGUCAUAACUUGAUAGAAAAUCAAACAAGUAAUUCUAAGAUGUAAUAUUACAAUUUCUUUUAAAAUAGGAUUAUAUAUCAUUUGGUAGUCACCGUGAUCUCCCGUUGACAUUCGAUGCAUUUUUACGGCCUUUCUUAGGCAUUGAAAUUAAGUGGGGUUGGCACCUAAAAUCUAAAAGAGCCUAGUCAACAAGGUUGAAAACAAACAGUUCAUUACAAUGAGAAUAAAAAACUCCAAACCACACAACGAGCAGAUGUUGCUUUGGAGUUUUGGAGGGACUAUUUCGUUGAAAGAGGAUUGAAGAUCGAGGAAAUGGGUAAUUAAGUGGCCUUUGAGGAUAUUUCCACAGUGCCCUCAUCAUGGACAUGCAAAAACGUGUUCCACGUUGGUCCUUCUCACUCUUUUACCCGUAUUAAGAUAAACGUAAGCCUUGGAAAAAUUCACACCGUUGUUGCAAUGACAUUAGGUACCAGCCAUAGUAGUAGCUCCGACAAUGACAUUAGGCAACAUUAAUUGCUCAAUAUGCGUGAAUGCAAUGUUAAGUUAAAACUUAGGGGUCCGUUUGGAUUAGCUGUUUUUGGGGUUGUUUUUCAAAAACAACACUGUAGCAUUUCGUUUCAAAAACAACACUGUAGAUUUUAGUUAUGACUACACUGAACUGCAAAACCAUUAUCAGGUCACAGCGUUGCCACUCCAAUUAUACCCAAAAGAUCAUCACGGUAACUUGCAAUCAAACACACCAAUCGCGGAAUAUUUUGGACCAUAAUGCACACUUCUAGAUCCAAAACAUUGAUAGAUUACAAGUAUGAUAAGCUUAUUUGUUACCUACACAUGCGACUAUUACUAGGAGAAUAAGAAAUUCCAAAGGCCCAUUGAUCAAGGAAGUUCGUGUACAUAUAUCGCCAUGAAUCUUGUGGAAUGACAUAUUUCCAGUAUACACAACACAUCCGACUAGUUAGUUGAAUAUAUCAAAUAUUAAUUAAAUAGCAUGAUUUAGUUAAUGAAAUAUUAAUCAUAACACAAAAUUCAUGGACUAAUGGCAGUCAAUUAACUAACGAUGUAUACUUCAUGCAUGAUGGAUUAUUUCUUGUUUAAACAAUAGUAGAUUGGUGCGACAGGAACUCCAUCUAACAAAAUCAGGCUAAAAGAUAAGAAAAUAGGAAGGAUAGUAAGAUUGAUAGAUAUAGAUUAAUAAAGCCAGGGAAUAUUUUUUUUACUAGGAAAAGCUCUAACAUUAAUGGCUACGCAUAUAUCUUUUACAUGAUUAAUACAUCUCUUUAUCAACUUUCCCCAACUAAUCUGAUAGAGUAAAAAAAUAAAAAAAGGAAAAACACAUGUUCCAAAUCAAUUUUCCAUCCAGCUGGAUGGCCAGAAAGUGGAAAGUUCGUUGAGGGAAAAAUCAAGGUUGAACUUUAUAUAAAUUUGGCAUCAAAUUAUCAUCCUAAUUUGACAUAUAUAUUCACAGUUGUAAAGCUAAAAGAAUUUCAACCGAGAAGCAGUAAAAAUUAAAAACACAUAGAUAAUAACAAUAUAAAACCAAAAAAAGAUUUAAAUUUAAAUGCCACAAGAAGGAAAAAGAAAUCUAAAUUAACUAGCACUAAGGCAAAAAAAAUGCCGAUAAAAACCUCCAAAAAGGAAAAAAAAAUUGUUGAACCAACCAAAGUCCCAAAUUUGGUAAAACAAAAAUGAGUUCUCUACCACCUUACCCACAUGUUGAUUCGAGAUUAGAUUGCAGGUUGUGGACUUGUAAGGCUCCGGAGUUUUAGAUUUGGAGCUUGAAGCAUGAAAAAGAAUAUGAAGGUCCUAAAGGAAGAGAUGGGAGUAAGGGUGUGUCACACCCUAUUUUUUGAAAAUAAAAGAGAAAGGUGUUAGAAAAAUGAGUUUUUGAUUUUAGAAAAUAAAGAAAAAGGGCCUAAAAUGGGAUUUUAAAUAAUGCGAUGGUUUGGGCCCAAAAUAUUAGUCUAAAAAGAGUUUUAAAAAGAAAGUCGCUACUUGGUAUUGAGUUUAGAUAUACCAAGGCAAAAAAUUGAUUGACUCAAAUUUAAGGCGCCCUUUUAACCUAGUCGAGACUAGUUGCGAGAUUUAGUCAAAAAUUUUCCUAAUUCUAACCUAUAAAACUUAUUACAUUUGGAUGUUUAUAUAUGGAUGUAAACCUAGAUCUAAGGGGUAUCGAGAGGGAUGAGAUGUCUCUUCAAAGUUUAACUGGUAUAAAUUACAUUAAUUGUGAAGCCCAAAAAUGAUCCCUUGAAGAGGUCACGGAUAUGCAAAAGAUAAGACUCAAGAAAGAAAUUAUGAUAUAAAUAUACAAGACCUAGAAGAGGGGAAUGCAACAUAACGGGUACGAGAGACUAAGAUUCGUGACGCAAUUUUCCUUCUUUCAAAGGGGUAAUAGUGUGCUAAGACUAAAAAAAGCCAUAUUCACCUAUUUCCCAUAUUCGAAAGAAGACUCUUGACGGGCUCUAAACAUAAGUGCAAGUUUAAUCCAAAAUACACCCGUUUGACUGCAAGUAUACAAGUCAACUACUAGUUUAAGAUACAUAUCGAGUCGAUCCCAUGAGAAGCAACUUUACAAGUACUAAGGUUCUUUACUUGCUCUACUAUUUAGACUAACUAUCGAUAAAACAAUGAAAAUAUCAAUACUAACUAUCUAACUAAAUUAACUAGAUAACUUGCAAGUAAAUAAUGGAGAAAUUUCACUAAAUACUUGAGUUUAGGGAAAUAGACUCCACUUAUGGCAUAAAAGAUACAAGUAAAUAGCUUUACCUCUUAUUACUAUUCUUGUUUAACAGGGAUUCAAUUCCAUAUAUAGCAAAACUCAUUCUUAUGAUGAAAUGGCCUAAAAUAGUCUAGUUUUCCCUAUUCUCAUGGUGAAUAACUAAAUCUACUUUUGUAUUCUUCAUGAAAUGCAAGUAUAAUCCACUUAAAUGUACUUCUACUCUCAUGAGUCUACUCCUUAAGCUCCAUUUAUGUUGGUCCAUCAGUAUUACCUACUUUCAUUGAAUAAUAACAACUAAUAGCUUGCUAUUGGUGAUCAAGCAACAAGAAGUGAUAAACAUGCAUAAAUGGACAAGUUAAUAUAAGAUGUAACAAGUAAAAAUCAUAUUCAACUCAUAACAAUUGGCCAUAAGUUUCAUCUACUCCCCAGAUCUAGAAAUUCAGUUACUCAUGUGAAUAAAGACAAUAAUGAGCAUAACUUCAUUGCAUGCAAAUGUAAUGAAUCACAAGUAAAGAGAAAAAUAGAGGAAGCUUAGCGAAGGUGAUGAACAAGCUCCCAAAUCUUCUAUUUCUUCAAUAAUAUGAGUGAUAUAAUGAAGUCUCCAAGUUUUUCUUACGAGUUCCUGACUAGAGAGAAUAAGAAAAGACUACCACUAAAUCCUACCAAAAACUAACAAGAACUUCCUAGAACCCCUUCUCUCCUCAAUGAUUCUUGCAUAUGUAUUGUUAGAGGAGUCAAAAUGUGGUUAAUGACAAGACAUAAAGCUAAUUUUCUCCUUCCUAAUGACUCUUGAGCAUGUGCAGCCGAAAUUCUUGUCUAGAAUUGAGCUAGAAAGCAGUGUGAAAACAAAAUAAGUUGCGAAAAAAAGGAGAGAACACGCAGGCUUUGAAUAUUCAACCUAAUUCCACGUAUUCUGAACUCACGUUUUCUCUUCUGCGACUUAAGCACCUCUUAAACUGAUAUUUUCUCAAUGAUGGAGGCUGAACUAACUCUUUUGCAAAACAUAAAAGUUGUAAUCUUUGAGUUAGCUUUCCAAUGCUUAAGAAUCAUCCAACUUGGAGCUCUGUGGAUCAAAAAAUGACCAAAAUACCCUCAACUGGUCAAAACUCUAUUUCAGCUUUCAACAACAAAAUUGCACUUCUGUAUUUUGACUUUUUGACAAUGAAAAUGAGUAAACUGGACUCCAAUGUCACAUGCCAAAUGUACAUCUAUCUCUUAGCUUCAAAAUGGUUCAAGAAUCACCUCAAUCCGAUGCUUGUAGUUCGAAAUAUUGCCGAAAUACCAUAAGGUGUCAAAGCAGGAAAACUUGCAUCUCAUCUUUUGAACAUUUACACUUCAUGUCUUUUUAAAUUACUGCAAAUCAUCAAUAAUCAUCCAAUUAUCUUUUGCAUUAACUCCAAUUGAUGAUUGAAUCAUUAAACAUACAAAAGCAUGAAAUUUUCACAUUAAAAUCCAUAGAAAUGCAAUUUUUGCCACUUAAACCCAAAAAAUGCAUAACUUUACUAGAAACUUAAGUAAUUAGCUAUAAAUAUGACUAAAACAUACCAAAACUAAAUAAUAAAAUACACUAAAAAUAUAUAAAAUGAUGUUGGUUAAAUGAAGGUUAAAUGAUGUUGGUUGGAUGAUUCCUUGCAAGGAAAUGGUGAAAAAAUAAGAAUUUGUAAAGUGUGUGUGAGUGUGGGUGAGGCGAAAAGAAUGAAAGAAAACAGGGCAGUCGCAUUUUCUAUGUAGUCACUGCAGAAUACAAUACGCGACCAUAGAAUACGCGACUUAAGGUCGAGUAUUUCUGAUACCCCAUAUUCUUCUUUGUUUUCGGAAAAUUCAAAAUGCGACUCUGUGAAUACGCGACUUCAAUUCGCGUUUUGUAUUUUAAUCUUGCAAAACAGAAAACGCGAUUUAUAAUGAGACAUUCAAAGCUUUCCAAUGGUAUAAAAAUCCCCUGCUAGUUCAUUUUUUGUAAACCGUAGCGACUCGGCAAAGUGGACUGUCCUGCUUUGCUAGUCUGUCCGAGAGAAACUGGGAAGCUGCAUCUUGUGGCUCGAUUUUGUCCCACUUGUGAAAAGAUUCAAAAUGAUGUCUUCUAAUGAAUUGUAGAAUUUUGAACCUAGUUUCCAAUGCCAUAAACCAUUCUCAAUUUGGAGUUGUAUAGUGCUAGAUAUGGUUUGAUUUCGAAAAUGCGCCAAAGCUGAAAACUGGAAAAUUUUCCCUUCCGUGCUCACCGAAUGGUCAAAUCUAUUUUGGGAUGUUAUAUUUCAAAAAUUUUAGUGUCAUUUAAACAUCAGUUGCUUCUUAAAUGUUUCUAGAAUCUUGAUUUCAAAAAUGGAGCGAAUUGGGGCUGAUUUCGUUGGACAAAACUUUUCAAAAAGAAAGAGAAAUAGGAUGACAGAUUUGCUUUGACAGAUUUCACAAACUUUGGUUGUUUUGUUAACUGCCUUCCCGUGCAAGUUCUUACCUAAAUUUUAAUAGAGAGGCAGUCCAUAUAUGGAAGUUUAAGAUACCAAAUUUGGUGUAAUUUCAGUACCAUUUCGAUAUACAAAUGAUGCCCCAAAGAUUGCUCUUCAAAACUGGAAAUCCACUGUUCAAGUCACGAAAAUCAACCAACUUCAAACUGUUAUAUCUUGUUGCUCAAAACUCCAAAUUUAGUUCCGCUUGUUGUGUUUGAAACUUGAUUUGGAACUCUUAUUGUGUUAUAAAUUCUAGAGGCUGAUUCACAUCCUGUGAAUUUUACCGAAUUUCCAAACAUCACUGAAAAUCAAGACUAGUUCUGUCUUGUCUCCAUGAAUCAGCAACUUUGAACUGAAAAUGAAUGUUUUCUGUUUGGAAUCUUGGAAAAGUUCUUCUGAAAAGUUUUAGUACUUUUAAACUAGUUUCCAAUAGUGUAAAGUUUUCUAUUUUUGGAUAUACCAACUCAAGAUCUGAUUUUACCAAGUUUGUCGAUCAAAGCUGAAAUUCUUGAUUUCUUAGGAAAUGAGUUUUGAGAACCUUUCAUUUCUUUUUGAUAUUGAUAGUUCGUUUUAAACCUGAUUUCAUGGAGGAUACGAGUUUUCCAUUGUGACUUUAAAUCUUCACUUUUAAAUCUUGAAUUACAAUAGAGUAAAGCUCUUUUAAGACAUUGUCCUAUGUCUAAGUGAACGCACUUCCUUCCUUGUAUGUUAAGUGAUUGUGAGUAUACGUGAGUGCUAAUUGAUCACUAUUUCUUCAGGCCCUCAAGAGGAUAUUGAAGGAAACCUCGGAGCAGACCACUAAAGACUUUAUUUGCUCACUUACUUUUGAAUUGGUAAGUGUCAAGUGCAUGAAUUGUUGCUAUAUCCUGAAUUGUUCAUUAUUAAUUGAGUAUUUUGAAAUUGUCGAGACGAGCGUGUAUUUUAUCGCACUCGUUCUCUUUUAAGUGAAUUUAUAAUUGAAGUAUGUGAAGUGAAAAUUGUAUUUGUGUUGAAUCGAUGUCAAUUGGAGUGAAUCUCAUCGACUUACAAUUAUAUUGGUAUUGACUUUAUAUCGAUUGGAGUGAAUCUCAUCGACUUAUAAUGAUAUUUGUGUUGAAUCGAUGUCGAUUGGAGUGAAUCUCAUCGACUUAUUCUUAUAAUUGUGGGGGACGCCCAAACUCAUAGGCUAACCUUGCGACUCGAGCUGGCAUGAGCUUGGUCGGGAAGUUUGGUGAACCAUGGGAUAGAUUUUAGAGCAUGAUCUAUUUGAGAGAUCUUACUUGGUAUACUCGAGUAAUAUUGCCUUUUCUAAUCAACGUUCGGGCAUGGUUAGGGGGUGUAACGGUGGACAGAAACUUGAUGUUAAGAGGAGUUCUACGAACUUAAUACCUACCCGGUUGACGGAGAGUCAUCACGUGGAGGUAUUGGAUCGAGUCUCGACAAAGCAAGUGGAAUCUAGCUCCUGAGAGCUCCCGUAUCCUUAUUGAUUGUGUUUUAUUAUUUAUUGUGAAUUACAUGAACUCUUUAGCUUUAUCUUUCAUAUAAGUGUUAUUGUUACUUGAACUAUGUGUUUGCAUGAUUUUCUUGGCCUUACUGAGCGUUAGCUCAUCCCAUUAGUUUGUUUUCCUUAACAGGAGCUCGGAAUGGAAAGAAUUUUGAGGAAGCCGACUUGAUUACUUUUGAUUAGAAUCUAGUGAUGUAAUCGAUUAGUCAACUUCUAGUGGUUAUAUUUUGGAGAAAAUUGAUGUACAUUUGAUAACUUGUGAUGUAAGAUUUGAUUAUUUAUGUAAGAAAGUGACUUUUCUUUAUUUUGGCUUUCAAUAUCAGUGAUGUAUCGUUAAGUUCAAAAUUGACUUGUAUCGAGUCCUGACGAGAGUUAGACAGACGUUCCGCGGAUACCCUUGGAUUCGCCUGAGGGAGAAGUGGGGGCGUCACAUCAGCUCGGUAACUUGCAAUCAAACACACCAAUCACGGAAUAUUUUGGACCAUAAUUCACACUUCUAGAUCCAAAACAUUGAUAGAUUACAAGUAUUUGUUACCUACACAUGCGACUAUUGCUAGGAGAAUAAGAAAUUCCAUUGGCCCAUCGAUCAAGGAAAUUCGUAUACAUAUAUCACCAUGAAUCUUGUGGAAUAACGUAUUUCCAGUAUACACAACACAUCCGACUCGUUAGUUGAAUAUAUCAAAUAUUAAUUAAAUAGCAUGAUUUAGUUAAUGAAAUAUUAAUCAUAACACAAAAUUCAUGGACUAAUGGCGGUCAAUUAACUGACGAUAUAUACUUCAUGCAUGAUUGAUUAUUGUUUGUUUAAACAAUAGUAGAUUGGUACGACAGGAACUCCAUCUAACAAAAUCAGGCUAAAAGAUAAGAAAAUAGAAAGGAUAGUAAGAUUGAUAGAUAUAGAUUAAUAUAGCCAGGGAAUUUUUUUUUUUUACUAAGAAAAGCUCCAACAUUAAUGGCUACGCAUAUAUCUUUUACAUGAUUAAUACAUCUCUUUAUCAAUUUUCCCCAACUAAUCUGAUAGAGUAAAAAAACAAAAAAAAGGAAAAACACAUGUUCUAAAUCAAUUUUCCAUCCCGUUAUAUGGCCAAAAAGUAAAAAGUUCAUUGAGGAAAAAUCAAGGUUGAACUUUAUAUAAAUUCGGCAUCAAAUUAUCAUCCUAAUUUGAAAUAUAUAUUCACAGUUGUAAAGCUAAAAGAAUUUCAGCCGAGAAGCAGUAAAAAUUAAAAACACAUAGAUAAUAACAUAAUAAAACCAAAAAAAGAUUUAAAUUUAAAUGCUACAAGAAGGAAAUAAAUCUAAAUUAAUUAGCACAAAGGCAAAAAAAAGUGCCGAUAAAAAUCUCCAAAAAGGAAAAAAAAUUGUCGAACCAACCAAAGUCCCAAAUUUGGUAAAAGAACAAUGAGUUCUCUACCACCUUACCCACAAGCUGAUUCGAGAUUAGAUUGCAGGUUGUGAACUUGUAAGGCUCUGGAGUUCUAGAUUUGAAGCUUGAAGCAUGAAAAAGAAUACGAAGGUCCUAAAGGAAGAGAAGGGAGUAAUGGUGUGUCACACCCCUUUUUUGAAAAUAAAAGAGAAUGGUGUUAGAAAAUGAGUUUUUGAUUUUAGAAAAUAUAGAAAAAGGGGCUAAAAUGGGAUUUUAAAUAAUGCGAUAGUUUGGGCCAAAAUAUUAGUCUAAAAAGGGUUUUAAAAAGAGAGUCGCCACUUGGUAUUGAAUUUAGAUUUACCAAGUCACCCAAAAUGUUUGAAAAAUAAAAAAAAAGUAAAUAAAACUCAUUUAGACGCUUUCAGGUCUUUGAAAAUAAGAAAAUAGUUCAAGAGUCACAGUUGAAGAAAAAAAGACAGAAUUGAUCGAUUCAAAUUUAAGGCACGUUUUCAACCUGGUCGAAACUAGUUACGAGAUUUAGUAAAAAAUUUUCCUAAUUCUAACCUAUAAAACUUAUUACAUUUGGAUGCUUACAUAUAGAUGCAAACCUAGAUCUAAAGGGUAUCAAGAGAGACGAGAUGUCUCUUCAAAGUUUAAUUGGUACAAAUCACAUUAAUUAUGAAGCCCAAAAAUGAUCCCUUGAAGAGAUCACGAAUAUGCAAAAGAUGAAACUCAGGAAGGAAAUUAUGAUACAAAUAUACAUGACCUAGAAGAGGGGAAUGCAACAUAACGGGUAUGGAAGAAUAAGAUUCGUGAUGCAAUUUUUUUUCUUAUAAAGGGGUAAUAGCUGUUAAGGCUAAAAAAAAAGUCAUACUCGUCCAUUUCUCAUAUUCGAAGGGUAACUCUUGACAGGUUCUAAAUAUAAGUGCAAGUUUAAUCUAAAAUACACCUGUUUUACUGCAAGUAUACAGGUCAACUAGUAGUUUAUGGCAUAUAUCGAGUCGAUCCUACGAGGAGCAAUUUUACAAGUACUAGGUCCUUUACUUGCUCUAUUAUUUAGAUUAACUAUCAAUAAAAGCAAUGAAAAUAGCAAUACUAACUAUCUAACUAAAUUAACUGGAUAACUUGCAAGUAAACAAUGGUGAAGAAUCCACUUAUGGCACAAAAGAUACAGAUAAAUAGAUUUAUCUCUUGUUACUAUUCUUGUUUAACUAGGGAUUUAUUUUCAUAUUUACCAAAACUCAUUUUUAUGAUGAAAUGGCCUAGAAUAGUUUAGUUUUUCCUAUUCUCAUGAUGAAUAACCAGAUCUAUUUUUGUAUUCUUCAUAAAAUGCAAGUAUAAUCUACUUAAGUGCACCUCUAUUCUCACGAGUCUACUCCUUAAUCUCCACUUAUGUUGGUCCAUCAUUAUUAUCUACUUUUAUUGAAUAAUAACAACUAAUAACUUGCUAUUGGUGAUUAAGCAACAACAAGUGAUAAACAUACAUAAAUGGAUAAGUUAAUAUAAGAUGUAACAAGUGUAAAUCAUAUUCAACUCAUAUCAAUUGGCCAUAAGUUUCAUCUACUCCCUUGAUCUAGAAAUUUAGCUACUCAUGUGAAUAAAGACAGUAAAGAGCAUAAAUUCAUUGCAUGCAAACCUAAUGGAUCACAAGUAAAGAGAAAGAUAGAGAAAGCUUAGCCAAGGUGAUGAACGAGCUCUCAAAUAUUUUAUUUCUUCAACAAUAUAAGUGAUACAAUGAAGUCCCCAAGUUUUUCUUAUAAGUUCCUAACUAGAGAGAAUGAGAAAAGACUAAAACUAAAUCUUACCAAAAACUAACAAAAACUUCCUAGAACCCCUUCUCUCCUCAAGGAUUUUUGCAUAUGUAUUGUUAGAGGAGUCAAAAAGUGGUUAAUGACAAGACAUAAAGCUCAUUUCUCCUCCCUAAUGACUCUUGAGUGAAUUCUUGUCUAGAAUUGAGCUAGAAAGCAGUGUGAAAACAAAACAAGUUGCAAAAAAGAAAGAGGAGAAUACGCAGGCUUUUAAUACACGACCUAAUUCCACGUAUUCUCAGCUCACGUUUUCUUUUCUGUGACUUAAGCACCUCUUCAACUGAUAUUUUCUCAAUGAUGGAGGCUGAACUAACUCUUUUACAAAACAUGAAAGUUGUAACCCUUUGAGUUAUCUUUCCAAUGCUUAAGAAUCAUCCAACUUGGAGCUCUGUGGAUCGAGAAAUGACCAAAAUACCGUCAAAUGGUCAAAACACUAUUUCAGUUUUCGAUAACAAAAUUCCACUUCUAUAUUUUGACUUUUUUGACUAUGAAAAUGAUUAAACUGGACUUCAAUGUCUCAUACCAAAUGUAGAUCAAUCUCUUAGUUUCAAAAUGGUUCAAGAAUCUGUGAGAACCUGAAAAUUUUCAUAUUUUACAGGCAUUAUUUUAUUUCUUUGCCUACAUUUUUAUUACUUUCCUUUAAAAUAUUACAUUUUCUAUAUAUUUUAUAAGUAAGUACAGUUUUUAAAUCAUUUUUCUGAUAUAAGUUAGUGUACGUUCAAUUUGAAGUGCAUUAGGGACGUGGGACCCGCUAGUGCGGUAAGUGCGAUAAAUUUGGACCAAUAGUUGGAGUUUUGUGUUAAGUGAUAUAAUUCUCCAGGGAGCUAGAAGAUAAUGGGAGGUUAGCUAGAUUAAUUAGUAUUGGAGAGAAGAAGAUAAGAUUAAAGUUUAGAGGCGCCACGUGUUGCGACCCGAUUAGUGAGUGGACUUUGACUAAGAGUAUUUCACUUUCCUAAACUUCAAUUUUGACCCAAUUUUUAUCCCAUUUUAAGCUUCCUUGGCCGGCCACCUUUAGGGAAAGAAACCAAGAGAGAAACUUCAUUUGUUCUUCAAUUUCUUGCCCAAUCUUGAAUUCCAACCAGAAUUUUUGCAAAACCCUCCAUAAAAGUUGUUUACUAAGGUGGAUUAAAGGAUUGAGUGGAGUGAUUUUGGAAGGACAAGCUCCAAGCUACUACCCUUCUUGAGGUGUUAAGGUACUUUGUCAAGAAAUCUUCUUUUUGUUACUAAUAAUGGUAAAUUAGUAGUUUGCAGUGGCUAAAUAUGUUAUUUUAUGGAAGAUUUUGUGGUUUGAGGUAGAGUUAGCUAAAUUUCAGAUUUUUUGGGUGAUUUUUCUGCCCUCAUAUGAUGAUUAAUGAUUGGCCUUGGAAUGGUAGCUUUGUUAUGUGUAAAAUGAAGCUUUUAUGUGUUAGUUGUGGUUGAUUGCGGAAAUUUCAGUUUGUACGGAAAAUUUAAGCUUUAGGGUUUCAAUUUGGGGGCUUUCUUCUGAUUGGUAUUGGAGCUAUUAAUUGGCUCAAAUUGAAGAGUAUUGUGGCCCUAAUUAGGUGUGUUUUAUAACUUAUGAUUUGUAUGUGCAAUUGUGGUUGAGUUGUAGGAUGAAAAAGUAAGGAAUUUAGGGGAUAUGCUGUCCAAAUUUUGGGGAUAUUGGAUUUCUUCGAGCUUGGUUUGAUUUGGGGUAUAUAAGAAGACUUUUGGGUCGCUCGAGCCCUAGGUCUUCAUGUUACCUUUUCGUUCCAAAAAUCAUGUUUUGUACCCUUGCAUUCGUAAUUAUUUGAAGAGGCAUACGACUUGUAGUCGAGCCUCAUUUGUGCAUUUCGUUUACUGGAUUUGUGGCUAUGGGAACCAUAAUUGCUUACCUUGGUUAUUCUAGGGUUUCUUGGUGAUUAGAGCCCUACUUUGGUUGAAACUUUUGAAGUAUCCUUGCUUAACUGGUGAGUGUACCAUUCCCCUCAAUUGUUGCGUAACUUGGUAUAUGUGCAAAUUGGGACUUGAAUGACUGUAUCAUCUGUUUAUUCUGUAUGAGACGAGGGUGUACUUUAUCACACUCGUUCUCUGGCCUGUGUGACUUGUUUCAUGUAUAUACUCGAAUUUGUUACUUGCGCCUGAUAUGAUGUCGUUUGGAAGUGUAUCCAACAACCUUCCUGUUAAAUCUAAGCUCAAUCUCAUGGGGAGUCAAUUAAAUCAAGCCAGCAAGGGCUUGGUUGAGGAAAAUUGACAAUCCAUGGGUGCCUGUUCUUGGGAAAUCUUUGGGUAUUGGAAACUUUAGAUUUCCGGUAUACUCGAGUAUUACCAUUCCUGUUCUUGUUUGGCGUUCGAGCCCAGUAAGGGGCAUGUUUGGUGAACGGGAUUUUGCAUAAGAGGGGUCUACAGACAUGUGUGUUUCAUUAAACGUUGAUGGAGGGUCAACGAGGCUGGAUCAAGUAUUGCAACGGGGAUUUGGCUCCUGAGCCACCUGUAUCCUUUAAAUUGUGGUGUUCAUUCAUUUCUCGUAUUUGAUGUGUAUAUGUGCCUUAAAAGUGAAUUCUCAUGAUUUCUACUGUUUAUACUUUUGGUACCUCAUUGAGCUUUUAACUCACCCCGUUCCGUUAUUCUUGUUUUCCUUACAGGGAACAAUCUUUUGGAACUUCGCUGUUUUGAAGAAUGAGUUGAGCUAGUUAGAAAUUCUUUUGUUCUUUUGGUAUAGCUCCUCGACAAUUUGGAAACCCUAAAUGUAUCUUAAUACAAUGUUUCCUUUGGAUUUGUAAACUUAACAAUAUGAAUAUUUUAAAGAGUUUCCUCAUGUUUAUGUAGCAUAUGUAUUUGGGAAUGUUCAUUCUCUCAUGAGAGACAAAGUUUACUUGUAUUUGGUUGAGUUUUAGACGAGUGCGAAAGUUGAUCGAGAAAAGAAGAAAUAUUGGCGAGGUUACUGUCACCGAAUCCGGCCAAGUUUUGGCCGGAUACCUGGCCGAACCAGCAGGGAAGUUUUGAAAAAUUUUUAUUUUGGCCUCUGCCUCCAAUCCGACCUAGAAUCCGGCCAAAAACCGGCCGGAUUGUGACAUGGCAGUCACUAUUCACCUUCAGUUCGAUUUUCGUUUUCCAUUCUGUGGUUGUUGAAUUGUUUAAACGCACUAAUAUAUUUCGGAACAUUUUAGUUUGUAUAUAAUCAUCUUAGUAGUCCUGGCGAGAGUUGGGCAGGCAGUUCGCUAACCCAUUUGGUACGCCUUAGGGGAAGGUGGAACUGUCACAGAAUCACCUCAAUCCAAUGUUUGUAGCUUGAAAUAUCGCCGAAAUACCAUAAGGUGUCAAAGCUAGAAAACUUGCAUCUCAUCGUUUGAACAUUUUACACUUCAUGUCUUUUUUAAAUUACUUCAAAUAAUCAAUAAUCAUCCAAUUAUCUUUUCCAUUAACUCCUAUUGAUGAUUGAAUCAUUAAACCUAUAAAAGCAUGAAGUUUUCGCAUUAACAUCCAUAGAAAUAUAAUUUUUGCCACUUAAACCCAAAAAAUGCAUAACUUUACUAGAAACUUAAGUAAUUAGCUAUAAAUAUGACUAAAACAUGCUAAAAGUAAAUAAUAAAACACACUAACAAUAUGUAAAAUAUGCACUUAUCAACUCUCCUAACCUAAACAAGCAAAAUGGACUUUAACCUAUUUUUUUUCUAAUUUAUCUAAAUGAGAUGCAAAUUUAAAUGAUAUGAUUUGCGCACAUAAGGAUAAGAGAAUAGGGGAGACAUAUCAUGCAAAAGAAAAAAAAUGCAUGAGAUGCAAUAAAUGUCAAACCAAAGCAUGAAUCUAUCGUAUCGAUGGCCUAAAGGGUCUAGCAUUGGACUAGCGCAUUUCUACAAGUUCUUACUAGCAUUGGACUAGGGAGAAAUCGGGGAAAAGAGCCACAGCUAGCAUUGGACUAGUGCGGUGACAUUAUGCAAUCAUUAUAAAUAAAUAAAGUGUAUAAAGUAUGACUAAAAUAGAUAAACACAAAGUGCACAUAGAUCACAUAGAACAUAGACAUGAUAUCUAAAUACAAAACCCUAGAAAAAAACAAGUAGACAUGCAAGCAUAUAAACACCCAAAUAGGUAAGCAAAUAAGACCUAACUAUUACAUUGAGAACCCUAACUACAAUCUAAAAGGGAAAUUUUAAAAAUAAUAGACCUAUCUAUUACAUUUAUCUAACUAAUUACAUUUUUGGUAAAAAAUAAAAUCUAUCGAUUGCAUCACCUAUCUAAAUACAUUUCUUGGCAAGAGGGUAUAACCUAUCUAUUACAAUUUGGCAUUUAAAUGCCUUCCAAACAAACAUCCAAAUUAAAUAAAAUAAAUAAAGGCUUAAAAUGAAUUAAAUGAAUAAAUAAAAGAAAAACCAUAUAAAAACAUGCAAUCACACAUGAAAAUACAUAGGAUCACAUAAAAGAAUUUAAAAAAUAAUAGAGAGUACCUUCCUUGAAAUAGUGGCUAAGUGUAAAGGAUGUAAAGUUGUCACUUUUCCCAAAAAAUUAACAAGCGUGUCAAUGCACCAAUUUAAUUUACAAUUUUCAAAGAGAAUAAGAACCAAAAAUUUAAUCUAAUAAUUCAACAUUCCAAACAAGACACAAAAAAUCAAGGAAUCAAGAGAAAUUUCAAAAAAAACUAAAAAUAAAAAUAAAAUAGAAAAAAUUUAGGGACUAAAAUGCAAAAAUUAAAAAGUUUUAGGGUAAAAAUAUAAUUUUCCAAAGAUUAAGGACCUAAGUGCAAUUUUUGCAAGAAGAGUCCCUACCGCCCAAAUUUUCCUCACAUAAUAUUAACUCCCAAAAUUGAUUUGAAAACCCCCCAUAUUAAAGUUAUUGCAUUAAUUUCCCAAAUUAUAAAAAAUAAAACGUAAAAUUCAACAAAAAUUACUUAAGCCCCGAUCUACUUUAGAACCAAAACAUAACUCAUCAAAAUCAUGUCUAAGAUGCAUAAGACAACCCAAGGCCUCAAAGGGAGAAAUUUGCACAUUAUCAUAAUUUUAGGGGUCAUACUGCAAUUAUACAAAAAUAUUGGGGUCAAAAUGUAAAUAUUUUCAUGAAUUGAAAAAUCAGCAAGUAAUAAACGGCUGAAUCAAAUGAAUUUCCAGAAAUUAAGAUCACGUAGAAAGUCACAAAUGUAUAUGAUGAAAUAAAUAACAAAAGAAGAAAGAAAAACAAGCUUUUGGUUUUAAUUACUUCAUGUGCCCGUUCACUAGUUUUGGGGCUUUUUUAUCAUAGUCCAAACAAGAAUUAAUCAACAAGCCAACACAAAAAACACGGAGGCCCAAGCAUAAGCCUAACAUGAAUAAAUUCUUGGCCCAAUUUUUUAAUUCACAAACGCAUCCAACUAAACACUCACAACCCUAAUGGAUCAAACAUAACAAAACAAAACAAAGUAAAAAGAGCAUAAAUAAAUAAAAAAACCAAAAAAAUAGAAAAAUUCCUGCCAAGUCAGCCAGAAUCUUGCCGGAACCCAUUUUUAUAAACUUUUGAGAUCGGAUCUUUUCAUAUACAUGAAGCCCAUGGUUUAUGGGCUCAACCAAACAUCAAACCAGGAUAAGCAUGUAAAAUGAAGAUCUAAGCUCCUUGAGCAUGAACAUCCAUGACCACAUUCAAAUCCCUUGCAUGAACAUCGAGCCAAAAAGGGAAAAGUCAUGGAAAUACCUAAGGAUGGUUUAGGAUCAGAUUAAAACCAAAAAAUACGAACGGAAGCACAAUUGAUAAAGCUUCAAACGUGAUUGUUCUAGUGGUUAAUUUCUUCAAGAUAUACCACUAGAUGUUCUUGUGGUUAAAAAACUAGCAUAGCUCUUGAUUUGUUGGUUGGAUUUACUUGGAAAUUUUCCAUUGAUAACCAAGGGCUAAUGAUUGAUGAAACCCUUAGGGAUUUGAGUGAAUUUUUGUUGGUUAAAUGGUUGUUCUGUUGGCAAAAUUCUUGAGGAAUUUUCGAAUGAGCUAGCCGAAUGAAUAGGGUUAAUUUUCAACCUUCAUUUUCGACAUUUUUGUGUUCUUUUAAACUAAAUUUCACUCAAGUGACUUGCUAUUAUGUUAAACUAUGAUUAUAUGUUGAAAUGGAGUUGAAAUCUAGGAAUUUUAACAGUUAAAAGUCAUUUUUAUUUCACUAUUUUUGGGCUAAGAACUAUCCAGGCAGCAAUGGUGAAAUCGAGACUGUUUUGCCCUUGAUUUUGUUUUUUCACACAUCAAAUUUUUGGGAAAACUAAUCUAGAUACAUGUCAUUUUCAUAACUCGAGCUUUCGUGUCGAGUUCAACUGAAUUUGAUUUAGUUUCGCGAAUUGUUGAGGCGAAACUUAUUAUCUUUCUUUACGUGUUUAUAGGAGUGAUUGAAGAUUGUGAUAUCGAUCCUAACUUGGAUUCGGAGCUUUGAUAUAUAGGUGAGUUUCCAUGCAUGUUAUCCGACUUGAAUUUGCAAAUGUGACAUAAAUGUAAACUUGAUGUUGUGACUAAGAUGAAUAUUGUUUUGAAUUGUUGAAGUGUUGUGAUGUCGCUUCGGUUGUUACCCCAUCGACGAUCAGUGAUUGAGUAUGCAUGUUAAUUCUUGGGAAUUCCUGAGUCCUAUAGGUAAGUCUGUUGAUUCGAACCAGUCAUGGGACUUGGUCGAGGAGAUUUGACGAGCCAUAGAAGAGUGUUUUAUAUUCGCUGGACUUAGUGUUUAGACUUGUCCCUUUUGAAGUGAAAACUAUGGUAUGCUUGAGCAAUACCCAUUUUAAGUCUUUUGGAUUUCGGGCCCGAUAAGGGAAGUCAAUGGAAGGAGAAUGAAGUAAGUGGAUUUCUACAUAAUGAUAAAACUUGAGAGUCGACGGAGUGUCGACUAUGUGAAAUAAGAUCAAAAUUCGUGGAAAUUGACUCCUGAGAGCCACCCGUAUCCUACCCCUUGAUAUUGUUAAUCGCUUUAUUUACUCGCUUUGAAUUGUGAACUUGAAGUGUAAUUUGAACUGCUCUAUAUGACUGUAUGUUUUUUGGAACUCACUGGGCGUUAGCUCAUUCUUUCAAAUUUGUUUUCCUUAACAGGAAUUGAGUACCCGAGUGAAGCCGCUGUCAAUUAGGGUGUAACCCUGUUUCUUUUGUACCUUGUUUUGGGUUGUUAAACAUUGAAUUCGAUAUUUUGGAAGCUUGUAAGAUGAACUUUGAUUGUAUCUUAAGUACGUUGGAUCGUAUUUUUAUUAGUCAGGUUGUAAGUUGAACUUAGUCAUGUUAUAAGCUGUGGAAUUAUUAUUUAAGUACUUUUGAAGUAUUUUAUUCGAUUGUAUGAGUGAGUCCUGGCGUGAGUUGGGUAGGCAGCUAACUGGACCCUUUGGUUCGCCCUAGGAGAGGCAAUGGUUUUAAACCCGAAACGGGGAGUGAAUAGGAAAACCUUCCGGUUCAUGGUUCGACUGUUUCAACCAGUUCAACCCCCGGUUCGAAGGUUUAAUAAUUUUUUAUUCAUUUUAGUAUUAAAAAUUUUGAAUAAAACUAAAAUAUUUAUUUUAGAAAAUAAAUAUUUAAUAAAAACCAGUUGACCCUCCCGAUUUUUACCGGUUCAACCGGGUCUUGACCGGUUUAAUUAAUUCUUUGGCUUUGUGAUUGAAUCGGACUAGAGGUGAUAAGUGACUAAUUUACGUAAUAAUUGUAUGAUAUUUUAUAUUAUUUUUAGUUACUUUAGUUAUAUUAUUGGAAGAAAAUGAAUUAUUUUGGCUAUAAUUGGUGAAAAAUACUUUUAAGAGAUUAAAUGAGCUUUUUAUCACUUUUUACUUGGAUUUUGUGUAUUUUGACAGUUUUGACACAUUUUCGUAUUUCGGCUAUAACUUGAGCUACAAUGAUCGGAUUGGGAUGAUUCUUGAACCCAUUUGAAGAUAAGAAAUAGAUCUACAACUUUGGUGAAGAUAUCUGAAUCCAGUUUGAAGGUUUUCUAGGUCAAAAACCCGAAUAACAGUAGCAAAUUUGUACUGGUCGAAGCUGAAACAGGGCAAUGAGCAGGCAAGGGGAAGGAAGAGAGAGACAUACGGGAGAACUUGGAGAGUGCAGAAAUGUAGCUCUUUCAUCUUCUGAGUGUUAGGUUAGCAUUAGUGUAGACUAGUAUAGUUCAUCCAUUCUUGAAUGUUAGCUAGGUUAGGAUGAAGAUGGAGAUGAAGAAGGAGAAGUUGAAACUCAAGUGACAUGGGUUAUCUCUUCUCCAACUCUUUAUCUUUUGUAUCAGAUUCUUAAGUUUAGUUAAUAUACAAGUUCUGGAUUUUGUGUUUAUUAUGUGUCUCUAAAGUUUAUGCCUUGGGUUUGGUUGAACUUUCUAUAAUUGUUGGUGUUUAUUAUUUGGUUAUUUGAUUGCUAUGAUUUGAGCAAGUUAUUUAGCACUUUGGCUCUUUAAAUCAUGAUUAAUCUGGUACCAUUGAUUGUGAUUAUCUAAGGUGUUGUUUCUGCAAUGAAAAUUGAGAUUUAACACUAGUUCAAGAAGUGCUAAACAUAGGAAGUACACUCACGAAAGUAGAGGUGCACUUAUAUGGUUUUUAGUGAUUCAUUUCAUGUAAUUUCAUUGAAGAAAUGAACUUGUAGCUAAUUUCAUAACCAUGAAAAUAGGUAUGGAUUAGUUAUGAGUAUAGUUGAUUCACUACGAAAGUAGGUUUCACAUGUUUAAGGAAAUUACACCAUAACUAGCCUAGAUGUAGUACUCAAUGAUCCAAAUAUAGCACUUGCAUGAGUAGUUAGGGAUACCACAACCUAAGGAGCAUUCAUUUGCUAUUUUGUAUAAUUUCAGUAGGUUAAAUUUGUUAUAAUUCAUUAAUAGUCUAAAUAAUAGAGAAGCUUUAGUAGUACCGGUAAUUGUUCACUCUUCCUUGUGGGAUCGACCCGAUAUAUACCCUAAACUACUAGUUGACCUAUAUACUUGUAGUGAACGGGUGUAAUUCGAUUUUUUAACUUGUACGUAUGUAAAAUACCCGUCAGGAGGCAUGGCCGGUUCGUGGUUUGACCGGCCGAACCGGCCGGUCCAGUCUGGUUUUUAAAACAUUGAGGGGAGGAGAAGGUGGGCUGUCACAUUUUUAGCAACAAGUAAUUCUUGUUCUUUUUUUCACUUCCUUAUUUAUAGCAUAGUUUCUUAUUUAUAGUCAAUUUCAAAAAAAUCUAUUAACGAGCCACCUUUUAUAAAUUUCUAUUAAUCGUACAUUCUUUAUUUUUUUUGUCCAUCAAUCAUAUCUUUCCUUUUCUAAUCAUCUUCAAUCAUGUUCUGUCAUUUUUUUUCCUAUUCUAUACUUCCUUUUUUUUUUUUUUUUUUUUUUUUAAAAGGGGAAACCCCUGAUAUUUUAUUUAUACUAACGGAUAAAUCCAAGAAGGUGGAAAAAUCCCCAACCUUCAAUACAUGCUGAAUAACUAGGAGCUAUACCUACACAGGGAACUUGCGAAUGUAUGGAAAACCUAUCGCAUCCAAAUUUAUCAGCGACCGAACUCUACUUGGUAGCUGGUGAACAGAUUGAAAAGUAACAUAUGGGCUCUCCCGAGAUAACUCUGCUAAGCUGUCUGCCACGGCAUUCGCCUCACGAUGAAUAUGUGUAAUAGACCCCUUCACCUUGCCCAGUAACAAGCGAAGUUGACUUAAGACGCUACACAACGGCCACUUACCAACCGAUCGAUUCUGGACCAACCUUACCAACACUAAGGAAUCCACCUCUACCAAAAUCUCUGACAACCCUGCCCCCGUACACCACUGCAGCCCAGCACACAAUGCCAAGCCCUCCGCAUGGACCACUUCAUAUUCCCCAAAUUCCUUAUAAAAAGCACCAAUCAUUUUCCCUUCAGAAUAACGUACCACCCCACCACCUUUAGCUACACCAUUGAUCACACUUGCAUCUGUGUUAAGUUUGUACGACCCUCUAGGCGGCUUCAUCCAUGAUAUAGCCUUCAGACAGAAGGAUUUGGCUGGCUUGAGCCGGAAAAACCGUGCAAAAUACGUAUCCAUAUCCCCCUCCAACUGCGCUUUGUUUAACAUACAUGCUGCCCCCUUAGCAACCAACCACCCAUUGGCUUCGAAGAUAACUUGGGAAUGGACAGGGUGAAGAUUUUCAAACCGGGCAUCAUUUCUACUACGCCAUAGAAACCAUAACACCACUACCGGUAUUACACACCGAACAUGAUCCAAUCGGCCAUUGCUAGAUGAUUGAAACCACACCACAAGCAGUGAAGAAACACAUGAGAAUGAACGCCACUGAAUUCCGCAAGCCAGAAAGAAAUGCUGCCAAACAGCACUGGCUACCCUGCCAUGUAAGAAAAUAUGAUUCAAGGAUUCUACCGCAUUACCACAGCAAUCACACUUAGAAACCAAGGCCAUUCCUCUAGACCGGAGCUUAUCAUCCAGAGGGAGAAAAUCAGACAACACCCUCCAAGCUAAAUACGACAUUUUUAACGGAAGUAACGGACACCAAAUUCCACGGCAAACCAAAGACGUGUUGCGCCGCUGCCGAACUAGUUCCCAGGCUGACGACACAGAAAAUGCACCAUCAGCGGAAGGAGCCCAAAUUAACUCGUCCUUAAGCUUCGGAUCUACAAGUGUUUGGGAAAUAAUAUUAACAAUAGAUCGUGGAAGAACCUGGAGGAGACGAUCAGUAUUCCACCCCGUAGAGGUGUAAAACUCAGCUACCAAAAAGUGAGGAGGCGAACCAGAAACCUGGCUGCUAAGUGGUUCAUUGAAAAGCCAUCGAUCAUACCACAAAUCGAUGAAGCCUUCACCGAGCCGCCAACGAAUGUUAUCUUCAGUGAUCGCCCGCACCAAACAGACCCUCUUCCAUGUUGCCGACCCCACAGCUGCCGAAGCCGAACCUGGAUGUUGCUCGCCAAUGUACUUACGGUGCAUAAAUCUGGCCCAAGGAGAGCUCUUUUGACGUAUUGUCCACCAUAGUUUCAUUGCAAAAGCCCUCUCCAAAUCCAAAAGAGACCGAAACCCCAAUCCCCCUUCUUCCACUGGAAAGCAGACUUUUUCCCAAGAGGACCAAUGAAUCCUCCUACCAUCCUUGCCAUCCCACAGAAAGGCGUUAAACAGCUUGCCCAAUCUAAUAAAGACCCCCUUAGGUGGUUUAGUAACCUGCAGGAGGUAAAGAGGCAUUGAACUCAACACAUGACGAAUCAAUAUGAGUUUCCCCCCAGCAGACAGAAACCGGGAACUCCAAUGAUGAAGCUUUGCUCUCACGGAGGCAAUUACUCCAUCAAACAAGACAGUUUUGCUACGGCCAAGAGAAAGCGGGACUCCCAAGUAUUUGACAGGCCAAGGCUGCCCUUGAAACCCCGUUUCUUGCUGAAUUAAUUGGAUAACCUCCGAAGAGAGCUUCGACGAACACAGAAAGCGACUCUUAGAGAGAUUAAUUUUUUGGCCAGAGAGAGCUUGAUAGUCGUGUAGAAAGGACGAUACCGCCUGUAAGCAUUCAGUCGAUGCCCGGGUGAAAAUAAUCACGUCAUCGGCAAACGCAAGAAAUGGGACCAUCCCUCCCUUAGUCAAAAAUCUAAACGCUGGAUUGUUAGAAAACAGCCGUUGAAGACCCCUUCCAAGAAAUUCCGAGACAAAAAGGAAGAGAGUGGACGAUAACGGAUCCCCCUGGCGAACCCCUCUAGUCGACUUGAAAAAGCCGGUGAGUUCUCCAUUAACCAGGACAGAAAACCAGACGUUGGAUACCAACCGAAAAACCAGAUCCACUACCCCUUCUUUAAAACCAAAUUCUCGCAGCAUAUAUAACAAAAACCCCCAGUCCACACUGUCAUACGCCUUCUCCAUAUCCAACUUCAAGAUUACAUUAGGGUGACGCAGCUUUUUGUCCAAAUCCAGAAUCAAUUCCUGAGCAAGCAAAACAUUAUCUUGUAUUCCCCUGCCCGGAAUAAAACCAGUCUGAAACUCUAAAAUCAACCUAGGAAGGAGCUGGUUGAUACGGGUGGACAAAACCUUAGAAAUGAUCUUGGCACUAACAUUAGCUAAACUUAUUGGUCGGAAAUCUUUCCACUCACAAGCGCCUUCCCUCUUGGGGAGUAAAAUGAUCGUCGUACUGGAAAAUCCGCGUGGCAUUGUGGCACCAGCAAAAAAAUCCUGCACCCCGUCCAUGAAGUCAUCUCUUAUACACUCCCAACAACUUUGAUAAAAACCCCCGCCAAACCCAUCAGGCCCCGCAGCGCUCUGAGGAUCCAUUGAGCACACCACAGUAUAAACCUCAUCCACCGAUGGAGAUUUCAGCAGCAUGUCAUUCUCUUCUGGCGUAAGCUUAGGCAGCUCAAGCGAAGGCCUGCUCCCUGAACGAACAUCGCGGUCUGCUGUGAACAAAGAGGAGAAAAAAUCAGACGCUGACAGUUUAAUAUCCUCGAUAUUAUCAAGCCAACUGUCCCCGGGGCCCCUAAUUCGUGCAAUAAAAUUAGGGCUGCGUUUCUGCUUAACCGUUGCAUGGAAAAAAGAAGUAUUCGCGUCGCCCUCUUUGAUCCAUUUGAUUGCUGCCUUCUGUCUCCAGAAGUCACAUUCUAAGGCUAGCUCCCGAGAAUGGAGUGCCCGCGCCUCAUGUACUGCCGACCUAGACAACACGUCCCUAUUUUGAUCAUACAACAAUUCCUUGGCCAAUAGAUUAUCCGCUGCCACUUUGACCCGUUGAGAGACAUUCCCAAAAACAUCCACAUUCCAUCCAGCUAAGACUCGCUUAACCACCUUCAACUUAUUAAAAAAUUUCUGCAUUCCCAUUCCAGGAACAGGUUGAGCCCAAGCAGACUUAACUGUUUGUUGAAAAGUAGGAUGACUCCGCCAAACAUUAAGAAAGCGAAAGGACGACCGCCGCCUUGCCAUGCUGCCUCCCUUAACCAGCAACGGACAGUGAUCAGAUCGCCCUCGCUGAAGAUGAGCAACUCGAGUCAGCUCAAUAGAAGACAGCCAACCAGCAUUAACAACCGCUCGAUCAAUCCGCUGCCACAUACGCCCAUUAGUCCAUGUGUAGGCAGACCCAUCAAACGGUACCGGAAAUAGUCCACUCCGAUUUAAUGCAGAGUUAAAUUCUGCCAGGUCACGAAUAUUCGGGGCUGAACCUCCAAUCCUUUCUUCAACAGAAGAAAUAACAUUGUAAUCCCCUACGGCCAUCCAUGGGAGUGUAACAGACGUUGAAAAAUGCUCCAGAGCCUCCCAUAACUGUCGCCUACCAAUUCUGUUACACCGCGCGUAAACAGCAGAAAUAAAAAUGGAAGAACCAGAGGGGAAAGACACAUGUAUGUGGACCACCUGAUCCGCAGCUUCUACAAAAGAAUAUCGCGCAUCUGAACACCAGAAAAUCCAAAUUUUGUUGUGCAAGAAGGACUGCGCAAAAUCAAAACCCAAGAACAGCUGCACACUAUCCAAAUGGGAGACAUUAGCUAAUGGCUCCAAUAGGAUCAGUAAACGAAUAUCGUUUGAUCUACAAGCGCUACGAAUGUGCCUCAAUGACUCCUUAUUCGCAGCACCCCGAAUGUUCCACACUAUAAACUUAAUCGGAUCUAACAUUAUGGGACCGAAGGUUAUAAGGAGCAGCUGAAGGCUUACCGUCUCUUUUUGUAGUCUGCCUACCACGAGUCUUGUGACCUUGAACCAAAUUCUGCAGCAAUUGUGUGUCAGUAUCAUCCAGAAGAGCUCCAGGGACACCCGGGUCGUCGCUUAACUUAGAUGCUGCAAUUCUGCUGACCAGCCGAUCCCUAAAAUUUUUUAACUCAUCCAAAGAGAUACCUUUCAACCCUAACUGUCCCUCAGAGUUAUAGCGCACUAGACGAGCAUGACCUUCAUACCGUCGAGGAGAAAGGGAACAAGCCCGCUCGCGCUGCAGCAUUGAAGGCACAGAUUUAGUCAGCAAAAGAUCAUCUCGACCGAAAGAAGGAAUUGUGGCGGAUAAAGCUUUAACCGGAGAAGAAGAAUUCGGGGGAUAACAAGUCAGUACUGAGAGAUCAUUCUGUGUAGUCGCAGCACCCCCCCGAUAUGAAUCAGGGAGAACGGGAUCCUGAGCAUGAACAUUAGUCUGUGUAGGGUUACCCCUAGCAGGGGUAGACGAUGAUGAUGGAAUAACAGUAAUAGAGACAUCUGCAGUGGGAAUACUGCUUUCCUGCACUUGUACCCUUGGGGCUGUCACGACCCCCGAAUCCACCACAGGAGGAGAUUCUUCGACAGCCGGUCCUCUUUUCGGUUGAAAGACUUGCCUGCCUUGAGACGGAACCGGUGGUCUAGCGCGUCGCACAGGCCGCAAUUCCGGAUGCUUCUGAUGACAGGUACUUUCGACAUGACCAAUGGACGAGCAAAAACCGCAGUACGAAGGAUAGUCUUCAUACUCAAUCUUCUGCCAAAAACCCCACUGAUCAUCCCCUAUCCAAAUCCUGGAUCUUGGAGAAUUCAAUACAUCAACUUCCAACAAUAUUCGCGCUACAGACGGACGCUUCAGCGCUGCCGUAGCUUCAUCCACCUUUAAUGGUCGGCCCAGUAAGUUACCCAGCUUAAGCAGAAACUGCUUUUCAAAAAACGGCAAUGGAAGACCUGGGAAAUUGACCCAAACUGGUGCGAUGGACGACUCCGCUCCCGGCUUAAAAUCGAUUGUCCAUUUCGACAGAGACAUAUGGAAUUUGCCGAUGUACCAAGACUUUCGACACCAGAGUCUGGUGUAAUCCUCCUCCACGGAAGGUCGUAAGAGAAUAUGCUUGGAAUCUAAUAACCCUAUCGGACACUCACCCUUCAGCCCCAAAGAAACAACAAAUUUGCGAAUAGUCUCCAUGGAAGGCCGACCAACGGCAAACCUGCCAACCAGUGCAUUAGAAUAAGGUGCCGCUAUCUGUAACAUAUCUUGACGGGAGAUCACCAACGAAGGCUCCCCCUUGUAAGUACUGAGAUGGCCAAUGCCAGAGGACGAAGAAGACGGAGAUUGAGCCAGAACGGAGGCAAACGUCUUCGAAGGACGACCAAGAAGCGGCGCCUCCCCAUGUUGGGGAGCCGCCAUGAAACCCUACUAACCUUGCAAAGCCCGAAAAAAAUGGUGAGGAAGCCCGAUUCUAGAGAGAAAGCCCGAUUCUAGAGAGGAAGCCCGAUGUUCCUUUCUUCCCGUCUAUACUUCCUUAUUUAUUGUAAAUUUUAAUUUAUUAAUUUUCUUCUUUAUAUAUAGUUACAUCGUUUAUUUAUUGCCAUUACUAAAAUAUAAUUACAUCGUCUAUAUGUAGUUACAUUGUUUAUUUAUUUCCAUUGCUAAAAUAUGAACAAACUUUUAUUUUUUAAUCAUUCUAUACUUUAUAAAUUUCAAUCUAUUAAUUCCUUGCUUUAUAUAUGUUUACAUUGAUUAUAUCUUUCUUGAUUUUUUAGUCAGUGAACGCAUAAUUUUUCUUUUUUUAAUUUUCUUCAAUUAUGUUUACUCUAUCUCUAGUAUUAUACAUCGUCUAUAUAUAGUUACAUUGUUUAUUUAUUUCCAUUGCUAAAAUAUGAACAAACUUUUAUUUUUUAAUCAUUCUAUACUUUAUAAAUUUCAAUCUAUUAAUUCCCUGCUUUAUAUAUGUUUACAUUGAUUAUAUCUUUCUUGAUUUUUUAGUCAGUGAACGCAUAAUUUUUCUUUUUUUAAUUUUCUUCAAUUAUGUUUACUCUAUCUCUAGUAUUAUACUUUAUUAUUUAUUUCAAAAGUUUUGACAUUUUUCAUUUUUUAAUGAAUCUGUAUUACACAAUUUUAGCAUAUUAUGCAUACAAGUCCAUUUAAAUUUUUGAAAACUCCAUUUAAAUUUAAUAAAUAGUCAUUCUUUGCUAAAAUAUUCAAUUAAUUUUUAUACUCUCUUCAUUCAAAUCCAAUUUAGGCCAAAGUAGUUUUUUUAUAACAUUGAGUUGUAAAAGUUCUCCCAAACUACUUUUUUUAGUUUUAAAUAAUUUGAGCAAAUAAUAAGUUCAUCAUCUCUUUAGUUUACAUUUAAAAUUCUUUUUAGUCAUAAGAGAAUCAAAUGAUUAAUUGCACUUAUUUCCUAACAUAUCUCUUUCACUCAUACAUUGACUUGCCACCAUUAAUUAGAGUAAACAUAAUUGAAUUACGGGAUAAGAUUUUUUUUUUUUAGACAACUUCUUUUUUUUUAAAAAAUAAAAAUUUUAUUGCUGCAACCAACAAACAUACCCAGAUCGGGUCCAACCCAUUUCCAGGAGUACAAAUUCAAAACCCUGACCAAACCCACCACCCCCUACCGCCGGCACCUACGAAAGCUUGGGAACCCGUACACGUCCAAGGUAAUGUACCCCCUCACCAACCUCGGUAAAGCACUAUAAGUCUCAUAAAUGAUAGUAUGCCCAUCCUCCACUCCAGCGUUAGACAACCUGUCCGCCGGCUUGUUUGCCUCCCGAUAGCAAUGAGACACGGCUUCAAAAUACCGUCCAUAUUGCUGCAGCUCUCGUAGCUCCUUCUGCAAUCGCCAAGGACAUCUAACCUUCUCCUGAAUAAUCCAGACCAACACCAUUGAGUCAGACUCCAGAUGCAACCUAACUAAACCACGGGAUACACCUAAUCGAACACCAAAGAGAAGCGCUUUGAGUUCCGCUUGAAGGCUCGUAGCCUCCCCAAAAGAGCACGAGAAGCCAAGCAGGAACCUCCCCUCAGAAUCCCUGAACAAACCCCCACCGCCACUCCUCCCCGGAUUACCUCUUGAGCAACCAUCGGCAUUCAGUUUCACUACCGUCUGAGUCGGACCUUCCCAACGAAACUCCCGUUUAAUAACCUUGCAUCGCAGCCUAAAUAUCAUUUCAAAAAAAUCAAUUUGUGAACUACAAGGCAGAGGUAUCUCUCGAAACUGGAGACAGACGCAUUCUCUCAGCUCCAAGAAAAUCCGAUCACAAACAUGCACUACCGAGUCUAGCUUUCCCUCAAAGAUCCACAUAUUCCGCAUCUUCCAUAAAUUCCAACAAAUUAACGAUGGCAAUAUGCGGAGAACGAAACCAAGGUAUGGAUUAAUAUUAGGCUUAACCCACCAACUCAUCACUUUAUGUCUAAUCGUGAGAUAAGAUUCACUUGGAACUAAUUAUUAAGUUGUUAUACAACUAAUUAUUAAGUUAUUGUAAAUUAACCAUUAUUAAUAUGUUUAAUUUUAAUGUUUGCCUUACAAUAAAUACAUCAAAUUUUAUAAAAUAGCAUUUUAAGCUCUUUUAUAAUAAAAAAUAAAAAUUAUAGAACAUAAAAUAGUGCCCGUGCAAAUGCAUGAAAAAGAAACUAAUUGCUAAAUAAAAUUUGAAUAAUGUGGUCAUAUGAAAAGUUUCCAACCUAAAUGCAAUUAGGAGUAUCAGGUUUGUAAUGCAAGAUUAAGAAAAGCCUCGUGUUUAAAAAUAAUUGAUUCAAGGAUAUGACAUUGUGAGUGCCAAAAAGAUAUUAAUAAUGGUUUUGAGUUGGAAACCUCAACUUUAAUUCAUAAAGAAUGGAAAAAUGCAUAAAUGCGAACAAAAUGGUGAUACAAUCCACAUUUUGUAACCCAAAAAAGUAUUCACCAAGAAGUUCUGGCAGAAGAUUUUGAUAAAUAGCUCAAUGAACCAAAAUUAUCCCUUAGUCUAGCUAUAACAAGCAACUUGCACAUAAUGAGAAAGAAAAAACUAAACUUACAUAAGAGUAAAAUACUGAAACAUGAUUCUGAUGUCAUUGGGUUGAAACAUAUGUUUGCAGCUUUUAUAUUCUAACUGUUAAUGUCCAAUUCUAUCUAAUUAUUAUGCCUAGUAUGAUAAAACUAGCACAUGGGACAUUGUAGUGCUGAAUGUAAUUCAAACACGAGAUGUACCAUAGCACUUUUUCAUUUGGUUUUUUUAAUGGCACUAUAAGUAAUUCAAACCUACGGUGAAACUCGAGAAUGACAGAUAUGAUAAGUUAGGAAAAUUAGAUUUGCAAAUAAUGGAAAAAAAAGCACCUAAAUAUUUCAAAGUACUUUACACAUGGCAAUGAAAAUUUUCUGCCAUAAAAAAAGUUUACAAUCCAAAAACGUAGUUAAGUUAUUUAUUCAACGUGUUCAAAAUGCUAAUAUAUGCCACAAAAGGAAAAAAAAUUGCAUUCCAUACGAGAAAUUAUACAUAUUUCAUUGUGGAAUUAAGAAAAAAAAAAGAGUAGAAAAGAACUUGAAACUCAAACAUAUAAAUGCAUUCAUAGAGCUCAAACUGGAUGGAUAACAACGAUAAAGUAUGAUGACUUAAAAACAAUUCUGCCGACAAGUAAAUGACAUACAAAAUAGUUUAUUCUCAAUUAAUUUUUUAUGAUCUCUAUUUGCGAAUAGCUUUUGGCUUUAGAUUCUCCUUAGUGCUUUUAGUUGGAGAUAUAAUGUUAUUCAUGACUUACCAAAUCACAAGACUAUUCCUCCAAAGUUGCAUUUAAUGUCAUUCCACAUAUUUAGGAUCUAAAUGCAAAGAGAUUACUUUAAACUCAUUUUCGAUGAUCUGGACUAUAGGUUAAACAAAAUUUUUUCAGUCACCGGAAAAUGCACUGUGGGAGUAAUAGAUAUGAAUUAAAUGCCUUUUUUCAUGUAGGUAAUAAAAAUCGGUGCAAAAUGCUUCAAGAAAAGAUGUAACAAUCCUUUAUUUGGAUAGCUAAAUGACUAUUCUUAAAAGUUUAAAGAGCAAUUUUCUACAAUUAAUGGUAAUAUAAUUUGUAAUCGUAUUUGUGAGAGGAAAAUUUGAAGCUUGUGCUUUUGUUGUAUUAUAAAUUUAAUCACAACUUCUAACCAAAUUUAUUUUAACAACACAAAUAAAAAUCGUACUUGGUUAAAUAUUGAAUUCCGCUAUAUAAGAUUUUUGUAAUACUAACAAUAGUUGUUCUUGUAAUGACAACUAACAAUGGAAUAUAUUAUUUUGUUCGCUAAAUAAUAUUAGCUGAUUAUAUACGUGCAUAGCACAUGAUUUUUUCUAGUAAUUUGAAGUGUUCUAGAGAUACCAUUAGGAAUAAAGUUUACGAAAUGUGGCAUGAGCAGGUGAGCUUUGUCCGAUCUUUUAGGUUGGUAUAGUUCUUAUUAUUGGUAAACCCUAUUAAUUCUUUUUAAACAAACUUACUGCUUCAUUAGAUAAAAACUACGAUACAUUUGGCAAAUUCUACUAGUUUCCCAUUUAAAUGAGAUUCACAAUCUGGAAAAUCAUUUUUAUUUUUUUUUAUAAUCUCCCCGCAAUUUACAAUGAGUUCAGAGUGCUACCUUUGGUCAAUUUAGAAGAAUUUCCAUAAAGUCAUAAAAUAUCACAUAAGCAUUUUCAGAAGUAAUGUGACAAUCUUUUUAAAACGGCAUUGUGUGUCACUUGUCACCCGUUUCGAUGUUCCAUUGCCAUUGGAUGCAUUUCUAAGGCCUCGCUUGAAUAGUUAAAUUAAUUUAUGUUUCUUUUUUCUCAAGCCCUAAAUAUAAAUUUAAAAUAACCUAAUCAACAAUAUAAAGCAAACAAUUUAGUAGAGUGAAAUGAAAAGAACUCUGAAACACAUAAUGUAGUCAUAAUCGGCGUUUUACAACGCCUUUUUUUAUUUUUUCAAUUUUUUUUCUUUUUUUUGGGUUUUUUGUUUUGACUUUGAUGUACCCCUAACUAUUACACAUAGAUAAAAAGGAAAGAGAGAAAUUUACUACAUAAGACCCUAUGUAGCACGAAAAAACAAAGUAGACCCUGCACUGAAAACAUUAGCAGACACAACUACUGAUAAUCAUAGACUGAAUGGACACCAUUUUAUUUUGUUUUUCCUUUUUUUCAAUUUUUUUUUCUUUUAUUGCGGUACCAAACGACUGAAGGAUGAUGGUAAUGAGUGCAUCCACCCUAAUUAGGGCGAAUUUCGAUGCCCUUGAUAAUAAUGCCAGACUUCCAGAUUGUAUCACUGGUUUGAAAAAUCCUAGCUUCUACCGUGGAACUUCUUCCGCGGUUGUUGACGAAGUCACCCAAGUUCAAUUCCUUCCAUCCAUCACUACGGGUUUGAGGAUAUAUGCCCGGAUCCUUCGAAUCUUGUGACUUGUCAAUGAACACACUAUAGCCUUCGUCAUCAGUUCCCUUAGCCUUUUCUUCAGUAAAUCUAACCGAUGCAGUUGCUUUUUCAAGUCCCUUUGGCUUGGCAUUAAGUUUGAACACGAGAUAUGUCAAAUAGGAACUGCCCCUUGGGAGGUCCCUAGCAGGCACACUGGUUCGAAUGUCAAACCAGCAAACUUCAACAAGCUCGGCAACCUCGAAGCUGUACAAAGGCAUUAAAAUCAGUUUAGGAUAAUCUUCGAAAGUCAUCAACUAACUAAAGGGAGAAAGUGAGAUAAUAAUAUAAAUGCAAUAGGACUAUAUACAGGACGGGUAUGUGUGAAGUAAGUUCAGGAGGUUUACCCAGAAGGUACAUCAGUGUACCACUUCCAAUAGCGUGUAUCAUUACCGUGAUAAAUCACUAGAUCCCUCGCGUUGAUGGUGUAAGCCUGUGAUGGAAAAUUGAGCAUCGACAAGUUAAUUAAUCUUUAAAGUCAAAAUAACAAAAGACUGAUGAGUAGUUCUCGCAUUGAUACAAACUAAUAACGACUGUUAUAGCUAGUUAUAUACCAUGUUGAAUAGAUGCAGCUCUGGAGUAGUGUUGGAAGGACUGUACGUUUUGUGGAAUGAGGGAUUGAAGAUUGCGGGAAUGGAUAUUUAUAGGCCUAUCUGAUUAACUGACGUUUGCAGAUAUUUCCAAUCUUACCUCAUCAGAGAUGUGUAAAAACGUGUUUCGUGCUGGUGUGAAGGUCAGAUGCUGAUGUGAAUGAGGGUGGCCUUUCACAAAACCACAAAUAUGAGUAUAUGACCAAGUACUAAGCUAUACGCUCCGCCACUUGAAAGUGUAUCCAACCAACCUUAGUGUCAACAGUCAUAUAUCUUUAGCAUAGUCAGCUGUAUCAAUAUACACUAUUCUUUUCCUAAUGAAUUCACCUUUCUCUUUGUAGCGCUGAAUACAUUUGGCUAAUUCUCGUUUUGAUAUUUCACCUGAUUAUAAAUUAUGAUUUUAAAUAAUGUGUUUUUCUUGUGUUCUAGUUUUCUUUUUUGUCUAGAUCUUGAAUUUUUCACAAUCGGAAAAAGCUACGAUCUUGAAUCUAUCAAAGAUCAAACAGCUCUAUCCGAAUCCAAUUAUUCUCUGCCAUCUCUUUCUACGGUCAAUUUUUGUAAAAACCAUAGCGAAUGCUUAUGGGAAAGUCUUCUUUGCAUGUCUGAGGAUUGGGUUAAUUACAUCUACCUCCCCUGAGAUUUGGGCAAACUAUGAAUUAGUCCCUAACAUUUGGCCAAAUUACAAAACAGACCUUCAAACUCACGAAUCUAUAACAGCUACCCCCUUGUCGUUAGUCAGAAGACGUUUGACCAUUCAUUUGUAUGACCUCAACAAAUGGUAUGUAGUGAAGGUAACAAAGUACCCACUAUUAAAACUCAUCUUUUCUUUUGUUCUUUUAUUUUUUGUCUUCUACUGCCUUUGUAUUGUCGCCGGAAAAAAAAAUUUCAACUAUAACAGGGGAAGCACAAAUGGUCGCCGGCAACCAUGGCAGCCUGCCUCCACCACUUUCAAUAACUAAGGUUAGUGAUGUUAUCCGUCUAACUUGUAUUUUGUCUAGAAAUCUAUUUUCAUCAUGAAAAUUGGCAAAAAUUGAUCAAAGAACAACCACAUAGAAUGAAAACCGUGGUUGUUCCUACUCUUCAUCUUACUGAAUAACAAUUAAAAAUUACAAAAUUCAUACCAAAAUGAUCAUGAGAAGAAUAUGGGUAUUAGAAAAAAAAAAUCAUUGAAUAGUUACACCAAUUUCUAUUUAUCAUCUUAAACUCAAACCUUAGGAAAAAUCUAAUUAACAAGUUUUAUGCUCUUCAAAACUUUUCUCGAGAACUUGAAUUUUAAGGCAUCUAAAUCUUUCACGUUAUGAUUUGGUAGAGGAAUCAAAGAUGGGAAGAUGAUAUCAAUUGAGAGGACUUGGGUCAUAGGAAAUUUGAUUUGGGUUGUGGACGAAGAUAGAGGAGAACUAAGGAAGCAAAGAGGAAAAAGGAACACCAGUGGAUGGAAAGGACUAAUUGGAGAGCACAGUUCAGGGAUGAGGAGAGGAGACAUGUGGAAAAGGAAGAGGAGGAUAGUGGUAAAGGAUUUUGGCAGGGAAAAAUCUAAUUAACAAGUUUUAUGCUCUUCAAAACUUUUCUUGAGAACUUGAAUUUUAAGGCAUCUAAAUCUUUCACGUUAUGAUUUGGUAGAGGAAUCAAAGAUGGGAAGAUGAUAUCAAUUGAGAGGACUUGGGUCAUAGGAAAUUUGAUUUGGGUUGUGGACAAAGAUAGAGGAGAACUAAGGAAGCAAAGAGGAAAAAGGAACACCAGUGGAUGGAAAGGACUAAUUGGAGAGCACAGUUCAGGGAUGAGGAGAGGAGACAUGUGGAAAAGGAGGAGGAGGAUGGUGGUAAAAGGAUUCUGGCAGAUUUGGGUUUUCUUUUCAUUUUUCUUUGUGAGUACAAAUUGAUAACUAAACUAGCAUUGUGUAUUGGUUUUCUCCUAAAUUUUUUUCUUUAUAUUUUACUUUUUCUAAUUUUUUAUUGUUUUCUUUGUUCAAAUUUUUUACUCCUAUUUUUUAUUUUCUUUUAUUUUUUAAAUCAUUUUUAACCCUUUAAUAACGAGGGCAUUCAUAUCAUUUUAUUACUACUGUUAGUUGGAUUCUAACGCUAUUAAUGAUAAGGAAGUUAUUGUAAUUUGGUCUAACCUCGGGGAUUGAUGUACAGUUUGGACAAACCUCAAGGGAUGUAAAUGUAAUUAACCCCUAAAGAUUAGAUGAUAAAAUGAAAAUGGUGGAGCUGUUAAAGGGCACAAUUGGUAAUGUAAAAGAAGUGAACAAAUUAAAUCAUGAAGGAUAGAGCUUGCAUCGUAGGAAAAACAUGGGAUUUGUACCAUGGAAACUAUAACAGUUCGAUUUUUUUUCUCCCACAGUUGUUCAAAAAAUUUAGCAUAAUUUGUAUGAUUGAAGAAAACAAAAGAUUUAAAGAGGCAAACAAAGAAAAGGAUUGAAGAUUGCCAAGGAAAAGGAAUUAUUUGAAGAGUCUUAACGAUACCAUUAAGGAUAAAUUUAAGGAUACCGAGCAGGUGUAAUCGUGUUUUGUCCAAUUUUAUUUGUACGGUAUAAAUCAUACAAAAUUUAAUGUAAACUUACAUGACUUUCGUGUAGUUAUUGGUGCCGUUGAUGUAUGUAGAUUAGCUCUAUAGCACAUACAUGAAAUCUUGUAAUAAAUAUACAAAAUAGAGUCUUAUAACAAAUAUACAAAAUCUUGUAAGAAUUACGCUAACGGGAUAAAAUUGAAUAAAGCUUAACUAUACUUGUACCCUUGCAAAAUUUUUAUGUUGUGUGAACGCACUUGGUUGGUUUGACCUGCUGGCAAAUACCUAAAUGAACUCUUGUCCAAGAAAAACCUUUCCGACGCCUCUAGUUGUUACUAGAUACUACAUUAUAGACUCAUCACUUGCGGAAAAGUUGGGAGGAAUUUUUUUUUUUGGUCAAGGUCAAGACUUAACAAAAGGCCUUUAUGGGAUAGAAGAAUCAUUUUACGUCCAAAACGGGACACAUAAAAGUCUAUCAAGACCAAGACUUAUAAAAAAGACGUACACUAUACUGUACACUUACAAUACAUAUUUUAAAAAUAAAUUAAUUAGUUAAAUACUUGCUAAAUCAAGCAAUUUUGUCAAGACCAACAUUGUAAACAGCUGUAGACUAGUAGUAAUAUGAACAUCAAACUUAAAAGUUUUGAAAUUUCACAAGAUGCGACAAGUGAAAAUUGUGCAAAGUGACAUGAAAGCAAGAUUCUAGAUCAAAAUAGUUGUUACUUAAUUUAAAUUCGCAGAUUCAUUCAUCCAAACAAAAAUUUUCACAGAUUCAAAUUGAAAAUCUGAAUGAUAAAAAGACAAUAACAUAAAUUAGCCAAAAUCACUAGCGCAAAUUCCACUGUUCAUUUAAAAAAACUUACUAUUAUAAUUGCAAAGUUCACCUUGCCUUUCCUAGUUGUUACCACUUUUUUGGUAAAUCAUAUUAAUUUUUUGAACAAACUUUCUACUUCAUUAGCUAAGCACUGCAAUUCAGUUUGGUAAACCCUACUACUUUUCCAACAAAUGAGAUUCAAAAUUUGGAAACUAAAUUUUAUUUUUUUAUCAUCUCCGAACAAUUUAGUAUUAGUUCAUACAAAUUUUGGUCAAUUUCAGAGAAUGGUCAUAAAUUGAUAGAAAUUCAAACAGGUAUUUCUAGGAAGUAAUGUUACAGUUUCUUUUAAAAUAGGAUUAUAUAUCAUUUGGUAGCUAACGUGAUGUCCCGUUGACAUUCGAUGCACUUCUACGGCCUUUCUUAGGUAUUGCAAUUAAUUAGGGUUGGCACUUGAAACCUAAAAGAGCCUAAUCAACAAGGUUGAAAACAAACAAUUCGUUAAAAUGAGAACAAAAAGCUCCAAACCACACAACGCGCAGAUGUUACUUUGGAGUUUUGGAGGGACUAUUUCAUUGAAAGAGGAUUGAAGAUUGAGGAAAUGGAUAAUUAAGUGGCCUUUGUGGAUAUUUCCACAGUGGCCUCAUCAUGGACAUCAAAAACGUGUUCCAUGUUGGUCCUUCUCAUUCUUUUACACGUACUAAGAUAAACGUAAUCCUUGGCAAAAUUCACACCGUCGUUAGUUUAUCCUUCUAGUUGAAGGGCACAAAAUGUACCAAUCAUAGUAGUAGCUCCGACAAUGACAUUAGGUAACAUCAAUUGCUCAAUAUCCGUGAAUGCAAUGUUAAGUUAAAACUUAGAUUUUAUUUUUUUUUUGUCAAAUAAAACUUAGAGUUUAGUUAUGACUACACUGAACUGCUAAACCAUCAUCAGGUCACAACGUUGCCACUCCAAUUAUACCCAAAAGAUCAUCAUGGUAACUUGCAAUCAAUUUGAAUCACACACCAUUCUCGAUAUAACUAAAUCAUGGAAUAUUUUGAACCAUAAUUCACACUUCUAGAUCCUAAACAUUGAUAAAUUACAAGUAUGAUAGGCUUAUUUGUUACCUACACUUGCGACUAUUUUUAGGAGAAUAAGAAAUUCCAUAGGCCCAUUGAUCAAGGAAGUUCGUUUAAAUAUAUCACCAUGAAUCUUGUGAAAUAACAUAUUUCCAGUAUACACAAUCCGACUAGUUAGUUGAAUAUAUCAAAUAUUAAUUGAUAUGAAUCAAUCAUCAUAAAUGCCAAACAAUCAUAUGAAGACACCAAUCAAUCAUGUCAGUUACCUUAUGUCCAAAAAGAUUGAAUCAAUAGUUAGUUAUAUUUUCCAUAAAAAAAAAAAAACAAGCCUUCUUGUCAGUUAUGUUUUCCACGAGUAUCUUGUCAGGAAAACAAACCAUAAAUGGAGGAAUCUUGUAGACCUCAGAAGAAUGUUAGAGACGAGGUUUUUCCUUUGCACUAAAUUUUAAAAAUCUAAAUAUUCUAUUUUUUACAAGUAUACAGAUUGUUUAUCAAGAAUAGGACAUAUUAGGUAUCGAUCUCACAGGCAAGAUUGUCAAUUAUUGAUGAUUUUCAAGCUUCUUUAUUAUUUAAGUUAUCACAAAUACAAGAAAAUAAAUCUACUUUACAAUCAUGAAAUAAAAGGAGUAAAAAUAGCAAUAGAAAGCUUCUGGGGCUAUGGCAUUCCUAACUAGGGUGAUGAUAUCUCUAGAACUUACUCCUUCGAAAGACUCCUCAAUGUGAAUCAUUCAUGCUCAUCUCUUGAUGUUCAACCUUAGUUUCAAAGAUACAAUCAUGUAAAAUGGACAUUUCGUCAUUGGAACACAAAUUAGAUUCAUCAUUUUGAUCAAAAUGCAAUCCACUUUCACAUACAACAUUCCCACCAUUCACAAUAGGAUCAACUUACAUAUUAUUAGAAGAUAAAACUUCACAUAAGGCAUGCAAUUGGUCUUAAAUUCUACCAAAUUGAGAAGCUAAUUCAUCUAAUAUAUUGUCAACCCUAUCAAAUUGGUCAGAAGUCAUAUUAGCUAACCUUUCAAUUGCUAAUUUCCAAGACAAAAGUGCAUUAACUAACCUUUUAAUUGCUAACUUCCAAAAUGGCUUUGAUUCAAGUUGGACAAAUUCGAAUUGGUAAUUAUAAAAAUACAGAGGAGCAUUAUAUCCAUACUGAUUAUUUCAACUAUAAACAUAAGAAUUAUCCCAAUUAGGAUCAUAUUGAUCAAAACAAUGAUUGAAAGGCUCAAAUUCAUCAUAAUAAUCUACAUUUUGUGCGUAUCUACAUGUACGAGUAGCAUGAUAAUCAUCACACAAGUGACAAAUCACAUAAUUAGAAUUAAAAAUAUUAAAAUUUUUCUUUCUUUUUUUCUUUUUUUUUUAUUUGGCUAACCCCAUGCACGGGGAGGGACGCCACCCCUGAGUAUUAUUAAUAAAAACCACAAAAGACACAUACAAUGCCAAUCAAUCGAGCACAACCCUACUGCGUAUUACAGGAAUUCCUGCUCUAUCCAAACCCACGGCCCCACUAGCGGGUCUUGGUAACUCCGAAUGGGAGGUAUACAUGCCACUCAACAACCCUUGCGCCCCCACCUUAGACAAGAUGUUCGCCACCUGGUUUGCUUCUCGAAAACAAUGACCCACAGUCCAAUCCGAACCCAACAUUGAUUGGAUUGCCUCUACAUCAGAGCGAAUCAGCCAUGGACAUCUCGACUUGCCAGGGAGAACAUUUACUAAUCAACAUUUACUAAUGAACACCCACAGUCCACCUCCACCUGUACCCUGGAGACACCCCGUAACAGGCACUGCUGCACCCCAUAUAGCAACGACUUGGUUUCAGCUUGCAAACUUGUCGUCUAACCGAGGAGAAUGGAAAAACCAAAUAGCAAAUCACCAGAGGAGUCCCGAAGGACACCACACCCUCCACUAGGCCCUGGGUUACCUAAUGAACAUCCAUCCGUAUUUAACUUGUAGAUCCCCUGAAACGGCAAUUCCCAAUAGACCACCCUAUGGGAGUAUCGAGGCCUCCAUCCAUACAUACUAGAGUAAAAAGCAUGCCAGGAAACUGACAGGUUGUCAGCCUGUGCAAUAAUAAAACCUGCUUAAAUUAAAAGUAAUUUCUGUAGAUAGCGGUGAGCAGGGUCGAAUCCACAGGGAUUGGGGGUAAUUAUUUCUUUUCAAAUUCACAGUGACAAGGGGGUGUUUUUAUAUCAGGGGUGACAAUUUAAACAAUUCAACUAAAAGUAAAAUAAUAAAAAUAAAAUAGCCAACUAGAAAUUAAAUAACAAUUUACUAAAAUCUAAUGAGUGAUAAUUAAGGAUCAAGCCAAGGAAUAACUUCAGCAAUGGUUCACCUAAUUGAUCAUCGAAGCAAAGGCAAUUCCAAUUAUUUAUUAAUAAAUAGGUUAUAACUGUCAAACAAGCGAUGACAGUCAACCCCUCCUUACUAUAUCGGUGAUCAAGUUACACCUGUUAAUCACUUUUUUAAUUGGAAAACAAUCUUAGGUACGCCCGUAAGAUUUAAUUCCCCAAUUGCCUUACGUAUUAGAGGAGCCCUAUUCUAACCAAAUAACGCACUACCAGGGUUAUUUCAGAUUAGCCUGCAUAUCCUCCUGACACAAACCAAAUCAUGCCAGUUGUCACUAUUUCAAGGCAAUUAAACAAUUACAAAUUUAAUACCCUAAUUGACAAUAGAUUACCGAAUCAAUUAAUUAUCCGGAUCCAAAAUAAUCAAUUAAUUAAAUAACCAUAAGCAUAGCAAUCAAGAAAUAUGCGAAUACCAAUAAUUAAAAGGAAAAGAUUAAAUUAAAUCGAUCUCACAAUUUUAGGCGAAUCAAAGCCUCCGUUGUCCCUUGACUAGAGGGAAAAAAUUAGUUCAUAUUUGAUACUAAAAACCCACGCAAAGGUGUAGAAAAACCUGCGGCCAUUAUCCUUGAUCGAAAGAGUUCACUCCGUUCGAACAAAAGGAUGAAUAGCAGGUCUUCUGAGAAUGACUAAUUGGCUAAUUGAGUAAUACUUGUCUUGACAUACGGAGAAAUAAGAGCUACUUGAGCCCACAAGAAAAAGUCAAAAGAAGCUAAGCUAAAAGAGACACAAUCAAAAGCUAAGCUAAAGGUAGUGCUUGCCCUCUGCACAAUUUUCCUAUCUAAAAGUCAUGCUACUUGCGGCGGCUCCUGUGUGUGGAGAGGAAGAAGCCUCUCGACGACUGCCCAGGUUUGCUUUCUUUUCCCCUUUUUUAGUUGCUGUCUUCGGUCAAAAUUACCAAAAAGGUCUUGCAUCUCCUUGUUCCAAGAAUGCCCUUGAUUGCCUGCUAUUUGAACUCUUUCCUGAUAACUGUUAAAUUGGUACUUAUUAUGGUAUUUUCGUUCUACUCCCUGAAAUAUAUGCCAAAUACUAAAAGUGAGCAGAAUCCAGCAAUUAAUCCACAUUGGGUCAGGUAAUAGGGAAAAUUAAUAAUAAAAUAAAUGAUAAAAUUGCAACCUAUCAAUUCCCCCCACACCUAAACCAUGCUUGCCCUCAAGCAUGAGAACAACAAACAAAUACCAAUAUUUGAUAGUGGCUACUGCUCUAUCCACCAAAUUGCCAAGAUACCAAGAAAAAUAAUAAUCAAGCAUCGAUGGUCAAGUCCAAGAAACAUCACUCUGGUUAGCUUCUAAACAAUAAACUCUUCCAAUUUCAGGUUAACUAAUCUAAGAAAAAGGAGUGGUCGCUCAACAUUUAUCAGCGAAUGGUCCAACUAUUAACCAAAAUCUCAACAUUAAAUCCAUAAAUCGGCAAGCUGACUUUUAUCACACAUUAACACAACCAUUACAUUUUUUCCAUAUUUUUCUUUUUUUUUUCUCCUUUUUUUUUCAAUAGUAACACAAGACUUAGUCUUAUAGCCAUGGGAGCCUUUUGACGCGAACUCCAACAUUUGCCAGAUGAAGGAGUCUAGUUACUCAACUCCUAUCGCUAUACGACCACGUACUCAUAGAAAUUACUACUUUUUGACGCGAGAAUCGACACUUUUGGUGAAGAUCCCCGGUUACUCAGUAAUAAAAACUAGCUGAGUACAGCCAACUCUUAUUCUCAACUAAAUAACACAAAAACUCAAUAUAACACAAAAAUCAAAAGAAAAUUUGCAUCAGCUAUCCUCAUUUUCAAAUAUGGAGAACUAAGGUUAAUAACUGGACCAAUUCACAUGAAAAUGCCAACAAUCAUUCCCUAUGCCUAGGAAAGUUGACCAAAAGUUAAAAGAGUAAAACAAUCGCUGAUAUUCACCAAAGAGAUAUUCUUGGACUCAACCACAUUAACUUGAUACACUUUUAUUAUUAAAACUUGGCAAUAGCAGAAUUAGAGUCAACAAUCCAACAUCAAACUUUGGUAUUCAUUAAAAAAAAAGUAAACGAAGACUAGACAAAUGACAAACUAGCAAUAAAAGAAGGACAUCUGAAAACUAAAAACUGGUAUAGCUGUCCCUCCCCCCACACCUAGAUCCUACAUUGUCCUCAAUGGAGGAAAUAAAAUAAUUAAAGCGAAGAGGAUAACGAAACUUCCCCCUCGAGUGGUUAAGGGGUAUUUGGUAGCUACGGAGGGAAACCAACAUGGUGAAGGUACGAGGCCACGUUCUGAGACAUCCUUGCCCCUUGGCGGGCAAUGUUCGUCAUUCGCUCAUCUACGUUGUGAACCUGUGCUUGUAAGUGGCGCCACUCACCAUUUUCGCCAAUUAUCAUUCCAAACAACCAAAGACAGAAUAUCCAACAAAGAUAGCAAUCACAAAUGCACAUUCAUAGUCACUGGUGUUCCCCAACUCAACAAUCAAAAGCAAACAUGGGCCACCCAAGCCCAAAUAUGGUCAACAAAGCAACAGUUGCACUCCAAAAUCAAAAACCAGAAACUAUUAUCAAUAACUGGAAACUAGCAAAGUCACGUCAAUAAGCACAGGAACUACCCAAUUUAGUCAGUCAACAAGCAAACUUGGGACAUCCACAAUAUCAACAAAUGCACUCUAAGAUUGUAACAAAUGCCCCCAUCAGUCAAACCAUAACAAUUGCCCCAAUAAUAUGCCAAAUUCAGCAAUAGAGGUUCAAGAAUUUAGUAAUAGUAACACAAUCACAAGCCCUUGGCUAUCAGCCAAAUAUCCAAACAAAUACAGUGAGCAGAUUCAAGGAAAAACAGUCCAACCAGUACCACUGGUGAAAAAUUAAGUGUACCACUUCACCACCCGAAAUCGUAGCAAAAACCCCAAGAAGCCAACAAUUCAAGCAAUAAUAAUUCCGUAAGUUAACAGUAGCACCACAGAAAUUAGCAAUGGAAGACGACAGUCAAGGCACGCCCAAUAGUUCACUAGAAAGCGAAGAAAUCCACUAAUAAUGUCGCACCGAACCCAAAAGGCACUGAUGUCCCACAAUUGGAACAAAUAAAGAUAACCCAAACACCAGUGCAACCCCAGAUACUGGAACUCAAUUUAACAAGAUAAUGUGGCCAUGGAGGCUUCAAUUGAGUCUAACAAUUAAAUCCCAGAAAGGAUGCUCCAAAUAAUUGGGUAUAAGUUCGAGAGGGGUAAAUACCUCCGCCGCGAAUAGUGGCCAAACAAAAUCUCUGGUAGAGGCUAAAGGCGACGUAGCGAAGUGGGCAGAGGAGGUGGCGCGUUGCCCGAGGGUCAAGAGGGGAAGAGAGGCCGCAGUUGUGGCGGCGUGCUCCUUCGAGUGGCGGUGGUCACGGGUGUGUUAGUGGAGGGCUGCGUCUGGUUGCUGAGGAGAUAUCAAACGCACAAGCUCAAAACGAGAGAGGCAAAGGGCGAGCUGCUCCUGGGGUAGUGGAGGCGUCGCCUGUGGAUCGAGGACGUGGGCUGGGCUCGCGGUAGGAGGCAGCGGCAUGUGGUGGAUUUUCAGUGGCUGUCGCGGGCUAGGGAGACGGUGGCGAUGGAGGAGAGCAGCGACGGCGCUGGCUGCACCGUGGGCUGCAGGCUGAUGUCGUACGAGGAGAAGCUGGGGUCGCGGCUACUGGCAGCGCUGUUGGCGAUGCGGUGGCCAGGGAUGGAGAGAUGCACGUGGAGAGCUCUUUCCCGCGAACGUGACGCGGGCACGUCAUGAAAGCACGGAAUGAGGAGCUCUCCAGGUGACUUGAUGCGGGCACGUCAUGAGGACAAAAACCUUUUCUGACGAAUCUGACCAUGAGCUUUCCAGGUGACUUGAUGCGGGCACGUCAUGAGGACAAGAACCCCUUCUGACGAAUCUGACCAUGAUCUCUUCAUGGGACUUGACGCGGGCACGUCAUGAGGAUCGAAACCCUUUCUGACGAAUCUGACCAUGAGCUCUUCAUGGGACUUGACGCGGGCAUGUCAUAAGGAUCGAAAUCCUUUUUACUAAGUACCAGAAAAUCGCAAUGUGCCUCGCGCCCAGUUGACGCGAGCACGUCAUGUCAAAGGGAUGCCUAUGAAUCAUCAAAAACGAAAAUUGAAACCAUAAAUCAGUCAAAUCCAAGGAAAAACAUAUUUAAACUAACAAACAAAAAUGAACAAACAACUAAAAGGAAUUGGGUUGCCUCCCAAUGAGCGCCUUUCUUUAAUGUCUUUGGCUAGACAUCAUCAUAAUUUGUUCAUGGAGGAUAAAAUCUUGUGGCUCGUCUUAAUGCUUCAUCCUCUAUAUAGUCCUGAUAGCCCUUGUAAAUAGAAUAAUCCUUGAGCACACGAGUUACGGGCUUCCAUGGACUAGUAAAUGGCGCCAAACAAGUCAACGAUAAUUUGCAUUCUCCACUCACUCCUCCAUCACUUGCAUUUAUUGGUUCAAGAUAUCUUGAUAUCGCCACUCUUAAUUUAUUCCUGUCAUGAAAUUCAAAAUUUUCUGGUAUAAUAAAGUCAAUUUCAUUAACAGAAAUUGAAGAAUAAGAGUCAAGAGAAUAUUGAUUAAGGAAUGGAGCAGAUGUCACCGCAUUUGGAGAUUGUUCACUGGAUUCAUUCACUUGGACGCAUUGAUAUUGGGGUCUCAUUUCUUGCACUUCACUUUCCUUUUCAACUGCAUCUUUAGAUCCAUUUUCUUGAAACUUUUGCAGUCCCAUGUCAUUUGACCGGAUAAUUGCACUCUCAUCUUCUUCAAGGUUGAUAUUGGUUUGUGAGGGCAAUUUUUCAAGGUGAGAAGCUAAUCGCGCUAUCCUGGAUGUCAAUUGAUUCAUUUGAUCCGCCAUCGCUUGUAACUCCUGUUGAGAUCGAUAUGAAUUAGCAGUUAGUAAUUCUAUCAUUUCUUCAAGAGACAUACCUGACACGGAAGAUGAUUGCUGAGACUCUUGCUGUUGGAAAUCCAUUGGCCCGGUCGCAUAAUUAAAAUUGAAAUUAUCCCACCAUCCUUGAUCAUACCUGUUUGGAUAAGGGUCAUACCACGUUUGAAAUCGAGGUGGAAAAUCUCCAAAAGUAUAAAUUGGAGCACUUAGAUUCUCUUAAAAUGCAGGGCAUGUGUCGGUUGAAUAACUUGAGACAAAAUAAGUUCCACAAUUUGCAACACCCUAUUGAUCAUUAGGAAAAACACGAGUCUCAUAACCCCAUUCAGGAAUAAAGUCCAGUCUAUCAUCAAAAUACGGAAUGUUAGCAGCCAUAAACUAUAUAAAAAAAAGAGAGAAAAAUAAAUAAAAAAAAUAAAAACAAAAUGAACUCAAAAAGAAACAAAUUAAUCAGGCACCAGUCCCCGGCAACGGCGCCAAAAAUUGACAGGUUGUCAGCCUGUGCAAUAAUAAAACCUGCUUAAACUAAAAGUAAUUUCUGUAGAUAGCGGUGAGUAGGGUCGAAUCCACAGGGAUUGGGGGUAAUUAUUUCUUUUCAAAUUCACAGUGACAAGGGGGUGUUUUUAUAUCAGGGGUGACAAUUUAAAUAAUUUAACUAAAAGUAAAAUAAUAAAAAUAAAAUAGCCAACUAGAAAUUAAAUAACAAUUUACUAAAAUUUAAUGAGUGAUAAUUAAGGAUCUAACCAAGGAAUAACUUCAGCAAUGGUUCACCUAAUUGAUCAGCGAAGCAAAGGCAAUUCCAAUUAUUUAUCAAUAAAUAAGUUAUAACUGCCAAACAAGCGAUGACAGUCAACCCCUCCUUACUGUAUCGGUGAUCAAGGUACGCCCGUUAAUCACUUCUCUAAUUGGAAAACAAUCCUAGGUACGCCCGUAAGAUUUAAUUCCCCAAUUGCCUUACGUAUUAGAGGAGCCCUAUUCUAACCAAAUAACGCACUACCAGGGUUAUUUCAGAUUAGCCCGUAUAUUCCCCUGACACAAACCAAAUCAUGUCAGUUGUCACUAUUUCAAGGCAAUUAAACAAUUACGGAUUUAAUGCCCUAAUUGACAAUAGAUUACCAAAUCAAUUAAUUAUCCGGAUCCAAAAUAAUCAAUUAAUUAAAUAACCAUAAGCAUAGCAAUCAAGGAAUAUGCGAAUACCAAUAAUUAAAAGGAAAAGAUUAAAUUAAAUCGAUCUCAUAAUUUUAGGCGAACCAAAGCCUCCGUUGUCCCUUGACUAGAGUGAAAAAAUUAGUUCAUAUUUGAUGCUAAAAACCCACGCAAAGGUGUAGAAAAAGCUGCGGCCAUUAUCCUUAAUCGAAAGAGUUCACUCCGUUCGAACAAAAGGAUGAAUAGCAGGUCUUCUGAGAAUGACUAAUUGACUAAUUGAAUAAUACUUGUCUUGACAUACGGAGAAAUAAGAGCUACUUGAGCCCACAAGGAAAAGUCAAAAGAAGUUAAGCUAAAAGAGACACAAUCAAAAGCUAAGCUAAAGGUAGUGCUUGCCCUCUGCACAAUUUUCCUAUCUAAAAGUCAUGCUACUUGCGGCGGCUCCUACGUGCGGAGAGGAAGAAGCCUCUCGACGACUGCCCAGGUUUGCUUUCUUUUCCCCUUUUUUAGUUGCUGUCUUCGAUCAAAAUUACCAAAAAGGUCUUGCAUCUCCUUGUUCCAAGAAUGCCCUUGAUUGCCUGCUAUUUGAACUCUUUCCUGAUAACUAUCAAAUUGGCACUUAUUAUGGUAUUUUCGUUCUACUCUCUGAAAUAUAUGCCAAAUACUAAAAGUGAGUAGAAUCCAACAAUUAAUUCACAUCGGGUCGGAUAAUAGGGAAAAUUAAUAAUAAAAUAAAUGAUAAAAUUGCAACCUAUCAGAAACAAACCCAUCCGUGGAAUGUUGGUAACAUCACUUUGUUUCCUAAAAGGCUUGUUGGUAACCUACUAGCUGAAAUAAGGACUUCAAGCUAAUAGCCAUCACCAUUCUUGACAAUCAUAAUUAAUGGGUAUAAAUGAAGAUAUUAAACAUAAAUCAUGUUUAAGGAUGCAUCAUACCACAGAAACAAUCUUGCAUUCUCAGAAGUUAACAGGCUUCCCAUUUUCACAAUCUCUAUAUAGUAUGAAGUAGAACAGCAAAAAGGCAAGCUCUGAAUUAACAAUUCAAUUGCUCAGAAACUAUCAUAACUUAAAACUGAAAACAACCCAACCUUUAGGAGGAAUAGCACUUCAUCAUUCUUGAAAGAUCUCAGAUUAGAAAAAUUGCACUUAAAGAGGUGAACGCAGGGAAAAGUGUUCAGAAGAAAGGGCUGUGAUGCUUCCCGAAGGAGAGUAAAUCUUGUUUACAAACCCAGUUGAAGGAGAUUCAUAUGUAUGAGCAUCUUGCAAUUCUGCCAUUAUCCUCCAUACGUCUCCAGCUCCAUGAUAAGGACCUGCAACAAGAACAAACAUUGUUCCAGGAAGUAAAAUGACAUUAUAUCAGAAAAAAAAGGAAGAGUGAACAGAAAUAAUUGUAAGCAAUCAUCUAAAGAACGUUGUCCUCAUUGAGAAAUAUCAACGAACAACUAUGUUGCAUAGUCCCUCAAAUUGGGAUGUUACAAUAACAAAAAAACGAAAAGAAAUUUGAAUUGCAUUGACAUCAAAACAAUCUAGACUAAGCUAGCUGAUGAACAGUGAACUGAACAACAACUAUCCGAUUGCUCAAAAAGGGUUCAAAUUUUGCUAAAAUUAGUAUACUUGUGUAGUCAAUUCACAUAUGAAUUGCACGAACCAAUACAAACUUAUUAAAAAAAAAAACCUAGAAAUGUAAAUCACAACCUAGCUUAAAUAUACACUGAAAUUCGCUAUAUACAUGCGAAAAAUAAUCACAGUCAAAGAAGAGAUUUUUCCCACCAAGUAGAUUGCAUAGGGAUAAAUUGAAGAAGACUAAAAAAGAAAAAGCCUGAAACAUCCAUAGAUUGCACAUCAUUUCUUAUAAAUUCUAAAUUAUAGAUAGAAUAUGCAAAAAAAAGAGGUAAAAUAUGUUUUGAGGGACAAUGAAUCCUCUGCCACCAGCAACAACUUAAUUUCAACAGAAUCUAAAACUACCAUCUUAUUAAAUUGUUUCAUGAGUCACCAUCUAAUUAGCUGCAAAAUACUUCAGGGAAUAGUAGAAACUAAUUGUCAUAAACAUUAACUUACAUCUCUCAGUAGCAUAAUGUUGUUAGUGAAGCCAAUACAGUCAAAAAAUAUGAAGUCUCAGACACAAAUGCAAACAUGAAAAUAAAAAAGAGAAAAUAAUAAAAGUAAACAAAAGAAAUCAAGAUCAAACCAGCUGUAAAAGUGACUGUAUUUCUUUUUUCUUUACCCAAAGCCUCUAGCCACUCAGGCUAUAGAUGAUUCACCACCAUGAACAUCAAGCCUCAAACCUCACCACUAUAUAUUUUACCCUAUUAAAAUCACCCAUCUUGGAUGCUUUAAUUUGCACUACGAAGAGAGGUAAUUCAAAGAUAUCCAAUGCUUUAAUGUCCGGCUCAAAUGUAAUUUGGGGAUGGUAAGUAGAUGGCAAACCAAUUUCUAAGUUAAAUUCCAAAUUAAGAAUCAAAAUCCUAAAUUAAAUUUCACUGCACGUUUUUAUGAAAGAGAUAGAAAUUGAUUGAGAUUUGGGAGAACAUCUGGGAAGGCAACACAACUAAAGACGGAGAAUCAGUGAGAGAAGAAAAGGGAAAUGGGGGCAAACCUCGAUAAGCUUUCUCCGAUUGCUGUAGUAGAGAGGAGUGAGAAAUGCGAGGGGAGAGGACAAAGGAAGGUGGCAAUUUUGGAAAGAGGAAUUGUAGCAUCCUCCAUUGCAGCAUACUUUUCACACCGGCAUCGAUCUAUCCACAUAUAUCUCCUCAAAAGACACAUAUUUUCGCUUGAUUGGCAUUAUACAUAAACCAGAAUCGAGAAUUGAUUGAUAAAGAUAUAGGGAUGAAGCAUCAUGUUAGCAAUCAUCCACUGAUUAGGAUGCAAAGGAUACACUGAUUGGGAUGCAAAGUUCGCUACCAUUAAACAGGCGUACGGACUUAACUCAACCAGCAACAAGAGAGAAUAAAUUUGCAGAAGGAAGCAACGCAAAACAGGAGAAUGGAAAGUUUACCUAUUUUUCACAAUUCCAGCACUAUUAUACGAGGAUUCAACUUUGAUUCAGCCUACAGUAACAGAAAGUUACCUUCCAACGGCAGCAACAAAAGGUAGUCAGACAAAACAAAGUCCAACUAUUCCGCAGCCACACCACGCUCCUGCACAAUUAAGAGCAAGAUCAUAACCCAAUUAAAACAGACAUUAUAGAGGAGAAAUAAAAACUCUAAUCGAUAUGCAUACAACCACCGAAGCCACAAUAUAUUAAAAACACACCACCACAACUAAGCCACCAACGUUGAACCAGAAGAAAUCAAAAUCAACACAACAAACAAAAGCAGAACAAAUAGAAACCAAAAAUUUAAGGAGUCAAUUCAUUGCAGUCCAAUCUCACAGGGAACCAAAAAAAAAACCAAUAAAUAAGGUUGCUCUACGUCCACGCAUUGGAAACAAACUCAGUUCAAUUCAACCUGAAAAACGCAAGUGCAAAAGCUAAAUGGACUCCGUGCAAAAGCUAAAUGGACUCCUAUGGCAAAAUGGAGGAUCGAUCUGAAGUGAAAGAAAGAAAAUCAGGAGAAACUCCUGGGACCUUAAUGGGUGCCAAGAUGGCAGAACUACAAAAACGGAAGGAGAAACUCACGAAGGCUAAGGAUGAGGCGGUACAAUCGUGGUCAGAUUCCAGACCUGUGAUUGAUGAGCUUGACAAGCUACAGUCGGAACUUCCAGAUGCACAGAGUCGAACAGCCUCAUCCAACGUUACUAUUUCAGAGCUUGACUCUCAGCUUGAAAGGUUGAGUAUCUCUAUCAGGGCUAAGAAGGAGGAAGAACUGAAGAUCCAACAAUGAUCAACAGGAUAAAUCAGGUCUUGCAACAGACGCAGGAAGAGAUGGAGGAGUUCAAGAUGGAAAGAGAUGAAAAACACAGAACAGGAUUGAAACUAAAACGAGUUCUAUGUCUAAGGUGGCAGACUCUUCGCACUUUGCAACUCACCCUUCAAGCAAUACAAUUAGAAUCAGAAGCUUAUGUUGCAUCAGCUCAUGAAGCACAACGCUACAUCAGCCUUUUCCAGACAGAUGACACUCUGGUCAAGCUUACUCAAGAAGAGUACCAUGCAUUAACAAAAAGAGCAAGAGACGAAACUUCGUUGGCAGAAUGGCGAAUUGCAGUCUCUAUGGAACGAAAGCAGGCAGCCGAGGAAAGUCAAGAGACAGCUGCUAGAAGAUUGCAGAACUUGCAUUCAAAGAAUGGAUCAGGGAAAGGAAAACAUCCCGCUAAUGGGGUCUUAAAAGUUUAAAGAGCAAUUUUCUACAAUUAAUGGCAAUAUAAUUUGUAAUCGUAUUUGUGAGAGGAAAAUUUGAAGCUUGUGCUUUUGUUGUAUUAUAAAUUUAAUCACAACUUCUAACCAAAUUUAUUUUAACAACACAAAUAAAAAAUCGUACUUGGUUAAAUAUUGAAUUCCGCUAUAUAAGAUUUUUGUAAUACUAACAAUAGUUGUUCUUGUAAUGACAACUAACAAUGGAAUAUAUUAUUUUGUUCGCUAAAAAAUAUUAGCUGAUUAUAUACGUACAUAACACAUGAUUUUUUCUAGUAAUUCGAAGUGUUCUAGAGAUACCAUUAGGAAUAAAGUUUACGAAAUGUGGCAUGAGCAGCUGAGCUUUGUCCGAUCUUUUAGGUUGGUAUAGUUCUUUUUAUUGGUAAACCCUAUUAAUUCUUUUUAAACAAACUUACUGCUUCUUUAGCUAAAAACUACGAUACAUUUGGCAAAUUAUACUAGUUUCUCAGAAAAUUCUACUAGUUUCCCAUUUAAAUGAGAUUCACAAUCUGGAAAAUCAUUUUUAUUUUUUUAUAAUCUCCCCACAAUUUACAAUGAGUUCAGAGUGCUACUUUUGGUCAAUUUAGAAGAAUUUUCAUAAAGUCAUAAAAUAUCACUUAAGCAUUUUCAGAAGUAAUGUAACAUUCUUUUUAAAACGGCAUUCUAUGUCACUUGUCACCCGUUGCGAUGUUCCAAUGUCAUUAGAUGCAUUUCCAAGGCCAAGCUUAAAUAGUUAAAUUAAUUUAUGUUUCGUUUUUCUCAAGCCCUAAAUCUAAAUUUAAAAUAGCCUAAUCAACAAUAUAAAGCGAACAAUUUAGUAGAGCGAAAUGAAAAGAACUCUGAAACACAUAAUGUAGUCAUAAUCGGCGUUUUACAACGCCUUUUUUUCUUUUUUCAAUUUUUUCUUUUUUUUUUCGGUUUUUUGUUUUGACUUUGAUGUACCCCUAACUAUUACACAUAGAUAAAAAGGAAAGAGAGAAAUUUACUACAUAAGACCCUAUGCAGUAUGAAAAAACAAAGUAGACCCUGCACUGAAAACAUUAGAAGACACAACUACUGAUAAUCAUAGACUGAAUGGACACCAUUUUAUUUUGUUUUUCCUUUUUUUUCAAUUUUUUUUCUUUUACUGUGGUACCAAACGACUGAAGGAUGAUGGUAAUGAGUGCAUCCACCCUAAUUAGGGCGAAUUUCGAUGCCCCUGAUAAUAAUGCCAGACUUCCAGAUUGUAUCACUGGUUUCAAAAAUCCUAGCUUCUACCGUGGAACUUCUUCCGCGGUUGUUGACGAAGUCACCCAAGUUCAAUUCCUUCCAUCCAUCACUACGGGGUUGAGGAUGUAUGCCCGGAUCCUUCGAAUCUUGUGACUUAUCAAUUGACACGGUAUAGCCUUCAUUAUCAGUUCCCUUAGCCUUUUCCUCAGAAAAUCUUACCGAUGCAGUUGCUUUUUCAAGCCCCCUUGGCUUGGCACUAAGUUUGAACACGAGAUAUGUCGAAUAGGAACUGCCCCUUGGUAGGUCCCUAGCAGGCACACUGGCUCGAAUGUCAAACCA